Molecule: long non-coding RNA, 56924 nt
Filed under: Hordeum vulgare
Lineage: Eukaryota; Viridiplantae; Streptophyta; Magnoliopsida; Poales; Poaceae
Description: long non-coding RNA (HVUL_LNC011207)
Source: RNAcentral
GCAAACCACCCCUGGCGAGCGCGGGGACGAAGCAGGGCAGACCUCCAUACCCACACUCACCUCCUCCUCAGCAGCGACCACCGGGAUAGGGGAAGCAGGGAGAGUGAUCUCCAUGCCUACCACCACCACCGGCGCCAAAGUACCCACCGUGGAGCCUCCUGCGAGCCCCGACUGGCCAACACCCGAGGGGGCGGGGGUGCGCCGACCGCCAGAUGGCUCGGGCGGAGCCCCGACCGUAUCAUCGUCCCCCUCAGAAGAAGGCCCCUCCUCCGACGAGCCCCCCUCCUUGUCAAGACCCCCGUCGGCAGGCUCCAGCCCAGGCGGGACCGGAUCUAGCUGAGCCGCUGAAGCCGGGGACUCGAGCUCGAAGGUCAGACGCCUGCCCUUGGACCCAAAGUAGAAGACCAAAGACAACCCGUCAAUCUCAGCAGGAGCCGGGCAGAGAAUCUCAAUGCGGGCAGGGCCAUCAUCCUCGAAAGAUGCCAGGUCGGCGGUGAUCAGUUUGCCCAUGGGUUUAGAGAUGGCUUUCAGAAUAUGACUGAGCUUGCCACCCCGCGGAGCCGCACUGCCCCCCCUUGGGAGGCCAUAGACGAGGACCCAAACCUUCUCCAAGGGAGGGACGGGGUCAGGCUCUGACAUGGCCGCCUGGACGCUGAUCGGGAGCUGGUUGAGGGGACACCGGAUAGGACCAUGCGAGCAGACCCGGAGUAGCUCGGCCGAGGGGAAGGGGACCGAGAAGACCAGGGGAGCCGUCUCAGUCACCUCCCAUGCGAACUCAGAGCCGCGAAAGUCGCCAAUGUAGGCCGCAAGCUCAUCCUGGAUGAGGUCAGACGAGAUCACCAGGCCAUCCGGGAUAGGCUGCUCGGGCUCCAAGGUGACCGUCGCUAGGUGAGGACGAGCAGCUACCUCCUCAAUCUCCGCAUCCACGAAGUAGAAGCUUCCCCGCUCAGUGCCAUACCCAAGAUAGGCAAGAAUCGUGGGGCACCGUGGGGGAGCCUCACACUCCGAGCGGUAGUGCCCGGUGCACCCGCAGUUGAUGCACAUCGUGUCCUCGCGGGAGCGCUGGCGGGUAGCACGAGCAGGGGGUCUAGAGCCUCAUGCUCAGGAGCCCCCUGAGCUCCUGGCGACGUCAGGCCGCCAGCACCGCCAACAGCCUUCUUCUUCUUCGACUUCAUCUUCUUCUUAACCGGGGUCGGGCGGGAAGCGGAGCAGCAGGCAGGGCAUCUGGGGACACGUGCCUAGAAGGCCCGUCGUCCCGGCACCAGUCCGCACCCGUCGCCCGAGAGGAGCGCCAGUCAGCCCGACGUCCAUCAUCACCGCGCCGCAUUGGCGGCCCGCCCCACCGCUCCCCCGGGCGGUGGUCCUGGCGAUCACGGGGCGGCCCGCCCCACCGCUCCCCAGGAAGGCGCCGCGGGGCGGUGAGCGAGGUCCCGAGCCGGGGGGUAGCGGGGCGCUGGCUCCUCACACGGCUGAGAUGCCGGAGUGGGGCGAGCAACCAACUCUGCACACAGAGUCGCUUCCCGGUCCAGGUCGGCCGCGCGGGCGGCCUCCAGGCGGCGACGGUCCCCCGGCGAACCCGGCAACGGCAGGCGGGGAUCCCUCUCCGGAUCACGAGGGGGAGGCGGACGGCGAAGGGAGGUCCCGGAGUAGUACUCCGGGGACUUCCCCGGCCGGGCAGACCCACCGCGCCCGGAACGGGACGAGGCAGCACCCCCUUCCAUGGCACGGUCACGGGCGGCGGGCAGCGCCUUCAACACCGCGCGAGCCUGGUCACGAGAGGUUGGCGUAGGGAGGAGCCCCUGCCCAGCCGGGAGAGGCCGCUUCGGUCGGGCCUGGCCGUUCCCGGCGUGGCGUGUCAUGAGCACGUCCCGGUAGGAGCGCCGUGGGGAGGGGAUGGGGAGCAGGUCCGGGCGCCGGGCAGCAGACGAGGGCGCGUCGCCGGCAGUGCAGGCGAGGACGGACGAGGUGGAGGGAGCUCUAUGGCUGACGGGACGGGGCGAGCGGGGCCUGGGGAACGGCCGGCGGGACGGGGCGAGCAGGGCCUGGGGAACGGCGGGGACGUCCGCGCCCGACGGGAGAGAGCGAGAGGAAAGGGAGCGGGAGCCCGACCGGAGAGAGCGAGAGAAACGGGAGCGGGACGGGGCGAGGCUGCGAGGUGGCGGUGGCGCACGCUCGGCAGGGUAAACCCUAUCCCCGAGCCGGUCCUCCCGACGCAGGCCUGGGCCGGGACGCGAGCAUGGGGGAGGCCCAGGUGGGCAUCGGCCCACUGCCGGUUAACCUUCUCCAGGACUCGGGAGACGCGGCGGGAGGCCCAGGCCAUCUCGCUAGCUGAGAUGGGCCCAGGCCCCGUUCGCAGCGGCCCAUGGGGAGAGCCGGCCCAUCCGUCCGCCAGCCGGCCAGGGGAGUUAGGGCAUGGGGGAGGGGACUGACGAGGCACUCGGGCACCUCCCGCUGCCGCCGGCACCGCCGCCGCCGCCACAGGAGGCAGGGCACCAGCGCCUGGUCGGGGCUCGCGGGGGCCCUCUCCGGCGACCGCCAUGGGGGACAACCCAGGCAGCAAACCGGCUCGGGCCAAGGAGGGGAGAGGGGGAACCACAGGGGGACAGUGCACCGGCGACCGCCGCCCGACCUCCUUCCCCGGCCGCCGGCGGGCAGGGCGCGCCGCAGCCAGGAACGAGCCGAGCAGCGGCGGUGCCAGGGACACCGGCAGCUCCAACCGGUCAUCACCAUCCGAAGAGGCCUCCAUGUCAUCGGGGUCGGGAUCGUCCGUCCAGUCCGCCCAACGUCGCGGCGACCGUUGGAAGCAGAGGGAGGGCGCCCCCGGCGGGGGAAGCGGGGGCAUCGCGCUCACGCAGCACGCCGGCCGACCGCCGUCAGCGGGCACCGCGCAGCUUCAGGUCUCGGCCCGCCGGAGAGGAGCCGCCCAUCGCUUCUUCUCUUCAGGAAUCUAGUCGCCGGCCCACAAGUGGGGUGAUGAACAAGCUAAUGCGAUUUAAAGUAAUCAUACCUCGUCCUAAGAAAUUAAAAGUGAAUUCAUACUGUGCAGCUAGAAAAAGAAUCAUAAAAGUAUACAAGCGCAUGUGAAAAGAAAAAGAUGAACAACUUGCCACUUCAUAUAGGUGAUCUAAUUAACUAAUUUAGGGUUCGAAUAACUUUGUUUCCCCACAAUCAUGACAAAGUGAACCUUUUGUUGAAAGCCGGAAUUCUGCAAUAAAGCUGCAAUGGUAGAUCUAUUUUUAUCAGGGAAUCUACCAUGCUGAGCUGCUGCACACAAGGCGUUCUCACUCACGAGUCGCAAAAAAGAGUUGGUGAGUUAUUAAAAAAGAAGACAAAGAGGACGAGUGAGUUGCACCAAAAUUAAAUACUUCCUUCAUUUCAAAAUAAAUGUCUCAAUUUUAUACUACCUCUAGUAUAAGAGCAUGGUUAAUAGUAUAGUCAACUGCUGGCUAUAAGCUAUCUUAUAGCCUAUCUUAUAGCUAGCUUGUACAAUAGUUAGCUAUAAAAGAGUACUACUUUUAUUCUAUAUGGCCCACCUUUCAUUUUCACAAAGCACCUACGAGCACGUGCUAGAGCUGGCUCUUUACGAAGAGCCCGCUUCCCUUCUCACUCCUAUUCUCUCUCAUCCAACUCAGCAAAAAUACAGUAUUUUAAUCCUUACAGCCUGCUGACUGUACCUUAUUGUACUUGCUCUAAAGUUGUACUCCCUCCGUUCCAAAAUAUAAGACCUUUUAGAGAUUUAUUAGAAGACUACAUACGAAGCAAAAUGAGUGAAUCUAUACUCUAAAAUAUGUCUAUGUACAUCCGUAUGUAGUUCAUAGUGCAAUCUUUAAAAUGUCUUAUAUUUAGGAACGGAGGGAGUAUUAAGUUUGAGGCGGUUAUAUUGAGACGGAGAGAGUACUAGAUAUACGUAAUCUGAAAUAGUGGAGUACCAAAAUUAUAGGCCUCUAUGAUUAGGAGGAUUUUCAUAAAACAUUUGGAAAGUUGUGAUACUUGAGAAUUUUUCCUUUAUCGCUUAUCUGAUUCGUAGAUUGACUCCUAUAGGAUUUUCUCCUAUGGAUUCCCUUUGACUGCACAUUUCAUGAAAAAAAACAUUAGUUUGCCAUGAUAAUUUUUCACCAGGAUGCACAAAAAAUGAACUAGUUCUGAAAGGUUUAUUGGCUUCAUUUGGAUUUACUUAGAAUCAGCUCAUAUUAGCAAUAAUUAAAGAUGGCCGAACGAUGGCGCCGUCUCCCUCCCGACCCGGGGCCGCAUGCAGCCCCUCUCCCUCUGCCCCCCUCCUCCUGUCGGUGCCCUCGGAUCUGGUCCGGGUGGUGUUGGCGGUGGCGGGAUCUCCAUUACCUGUGCGCGGACGUCCUUCCCGAGGCAGGGGAUCGACGGUGGUGCGGCUCGGCCUGCUGUGGUCCGACGACCUAGAGGUGGUGGCCGGCAGCCGACGUGGUGGUGGCGCUGCUCCUUGGCGGCGGGGUGGCCUAGCGGCACGGGGUGGCCGGCUGCACGACCCCGGGCCAGAUCAGGGCCCAUAAGGCCUCAUCUAGGUCCUAGGGGACUGGCUCUGGCAUGGACUUGCUGCCUCCUGUACAGGGAUGAGGAGGGGCGGGUUGAAAGGGGGGCCGCGAUGCCGACGGUGUGCUUUCUGCAGCGCGAUGGCAGGAGCUUUAUGGGUAUUUGUGGGGCCAUGAGCCUGGUUUGCUCCUGCCGAUGUGUCCGGUCGGUUACUGUCGUUGACGAUGGAAGUCGGACCCUCCCGCAGGCCGCCGGUGUUGCUUCCCCUAGUCCCGACUCUUCUUCUUCGAUGUGCAGGCCUCACUUCUCGGUGUCCUGGUGAGACAGUGUGGGUCGCUUCAAGAUUGUGCUUGCGCAGGGCGGUGGGUGGUAUGGUGGAGUCCUCCGGAACGCCCGUGGUGAUGCGUGGGGAUCGGGACGUACAAAUCCUUGUCGGCCUGUUCGACACCGACACGGUGACGCCUGAGGGUGUCGACGGACCUUCCUGGAGGGUGUCGGGUGCUACCCUUUCUUUGUCCUCGUUGUGUAUCGGGGGAAACCCUUGGCAGCAGCGCAGUCAUCGUCGUGUCCCUUCUUGGAGGUGUUGAUUGGUAUCGGCGCUUCGAAGGCUAGGAUCUUGGUGGAAGAUCUUCGAUGGGCGCAACGAUCGCGGGGCCUCUUCAUUUUUGUCGAUCCAUCAUUGUUGGCAUCUAUUCCUUUUGCAUUUUCUUUUUCCCUUCCUUUUGGACGUGAUUGUGAUGUCUCCGUCCCAGCACUUAUUGAUGGAUAUAUCGGGCAUUUGCUAUAUUAAUAUAGCGAGGCGAACGCGUGCUUCGAAGAAAGAUGGACGAACUUACCAACCAUAUUACUUGUGCUUAUUUAUUUUCUUCUGUUACAACGCACAAACAUAUUUGCUAUUUGAACUAAAUCACAUUGCCAAUUGCUCGUCUAUCAUGUCAAAUCAGAACCACGCAUCUAACCCUCCCAAGAUGUAGAUCGAUCGGUUUUACUCGGCAUUCAUUAUGGAUCGGAGGGAGUACUCCUAGAUCAUAUUCAAAAUUGCUCCACGCCACAAAUAAAACUGCACGGUACAUAUGGUAAAUCUGGGAAAGUGAUUUGCGUGGUAUGUGUGCCAUAAUCAACUGAAUUAUUGGACUAACCGCAUCAAGAUCGGAUCACAUCGAUCCUAUCCCCGUCGACGAGACUGUCCUCGAAUCAAAAUAUUUCUCCAAUGGACGCUCGUGUCCCACGCUCUGAAAGCGACGCCUUUUGUUUUGUCAGUUAAUUUUCACGUCAAGCUCACACCCACGCACGCACCGUGUAGGAUCCACGGCUCGACGCACCUCCCCUUCCCUCCCCUUCUCCCUAUUUAACGAGCUAGCCACCCCCACGCUUUUUGCACCUCAGCAAGCACCAACACACACACACACACAAGAAAUGGCGAUGGCUAGGACGACGACGCUCCUCCUCGUCGCCGCAGCUCUCCUCGCGGCCUCAUGCAGCGCAUGGGAGGUCAACAUCCGCAUGCCGACGUCGGCGGCGGACGUGGACGAGGCGGUGGUGGCGCCGCUGAUCCACGCGCUGCGGCCGCUGCUGGGCUCCGGCAAGCACGCCGGAGUGGCGUGCGACAGCUGGGUGCUGGGGGUGGAGGCGCACAACGUGCGGGACUGGAAGACGGUGCCCGCGAGCUGCGAGGGCUACGUCGGGCACUACAUGCUCGGCAGCCAUUUCCGCCGCGACUCCAAGGUCGUCAUCGACCAGGCCCUCGCCUACGUCGACUCCCUCAAGCUCGCCGGCAACGGCAAGGAGGUCUGGGUCUUCGACAUCGACGAGACCACCCUCUCCAACCUCCCCUACUACGCCAAGCACGGCUUCGGGUACGUACUUACACUCUUGUAUACAUUACAUAGACACUACUGAUUCUACGUGUAGUGCAUGCAUUAGACUUGCUAUUUACUGCAGGUACAUCCGACCGAGCAGGGACUUGCACUCAUCUUUUCACUAAGAUGAAGUGUAAAUAAUCUGACUAGAUAUAUAUUGUAAAAAAUCAACUCACUAGCUAGCUAAAAAAUACCAGCGAGAUCUGUAAUGAAUGAAAAUUGGAAAGCACAUAAGGAUAGAAAUAUUGGAAAUAAAAAGGAAUAUAAUCACUAAGUAGAAAAGUACUUUAAUCACAAGUGUUGGACACUUGGACAUCAUCAUUGCCAGUAGGACUCGGGCCAUAUGUCCCUAGUAUGAAUGGCCAACAAAACAAGAAGGAAACAUACUAUAUUUUGAGAUAGAGAUGUGAUGUUGAUGGGCAUGCGAAUGUGGUGGCCGGGUAGGACCGUAUAUGUUGUCCACUUGGCUACUUUAUGGAAAUGUUCUAAUUAUGUUAUGCUAGUCAACUCAUACUUUCUAAUUAUGUCAUACUUUUGUACACAUACACACUAUUGUAGUGCAUUAUACUCCCUCUCUAUCUAAAUACUUAGAGUUCGAAAGAACUAGGUGCAUUUCAGCAGGGGCUUGCACUGAUCUAUUCGUUCAGAUAAAAUAAAUAUCUUACUAGACCUCGUUCAAAUGAACUCACUAGCUAGAAAGCACUAGUAUCAUAAGAUUUCUAAUGAAUGAAAGUGGGAAAACAAAUGAGACUAGAAGUGGAAACAAGGAAUAUACUCACUAGCUAGAAAAGUAUUAAUUGGACGUGUUGGACACACUUAGGCAGCAUCAUUGCUGGUUACCUCAAAUCAGUCACAGAGACGGCCAUCAGGACCAUAAAUAUGUCCCGCCUAUGAAUGGUCAACAAAACAAGAAGGAAACAUAGUACUAUAGUUUGAGAAUAUGGUGGCCGGGGUAGGACCGUAUAUGUUCUCCACUUGGCUACUUUAUGGAAACGUUUAUUUCCAGCUGUCCUUAUCAGCCGAUACGUUCUAAUUAUGUUAUGCUAAUCGAUUGAUAUUUUCUGAUUAUGUUAUGCUAAACUUAGUUCAGAUGGAUAGUACUCCGAUACGUUUUCAUUAUUUUAUGCUAAUCUGAGUUUAGAUGGAUAUAAUUACUUAUUUUAGAAGAUGUGAGAGGUCAGAACAUCUUGUGCAUAGUUAGUAGUUACAUGCUACUCCCUCCGUUCCUAAAUACAAAUCUUUUAAAAGAUUUCACUAGUGGUCUACAUAUGAAGCAAAAUGAAUGAAUUUAUACUAUAAAAUAUGUUUAUAUACAUUCAUAUGUAUUACUCUAACCUCUAAAAAGAUUUAUAUUUAAGAAUGGAUGGAGUACAACUCUAUUCCUCUUUUCUCAAAUAGUUGAACACUAUUCCUCUUAGUUAAGAAGAUUCUCUUGAACCAAGAUGGAAACUAACUUGAAAUGUAGUAGAAGUCUAGGUGAUAUCUAGCCAACAUGAUGAUACCAGUUUAGUUCAAAACAUGAUUAACUAGCUCCGGAUAGCUUGCUUGUGUAUAUUUUGAAUGUGAUGAGGGAGCUAGUUCGUUGUGAUUUAAAAUAAACUGUACCUUGCCGUAAGAACUUUAAAGUGGAUCUACACUGGGCGGCUGGAAAAAGAUACAUAAAAGUAUAUAUAUGCGCAUCAAGGAAAAAAGAAAGAUCAAAAGCUUAUAACAGCAUGUCUAACUAAUCGAGCGGUUCAAAUAACUUUGUUUCAUCACAAUCAUGACAAAAUUAACCUUUUUUGUUGAAAGUCGGAACUCUGCAAUAAGGUUGCAAUGGUAGACCUAUUUUACCAAAGGAAUCAACAAAGCUGAGCUGCUGCGUACAAAGCUGUGCACGAUGAGAUUAAAUACUACAACUGCGUUUUCGGUCCAACAAAACAGUAGCGUGAUGAUGCCGGAGUGAACCUCGCUAUGUCACAUUCAUUGAUUUACUCCACUUGACCAACUUAAUUUACGACGUCCACAACUACGUACUGCUCAUGCACGUGCGUUACGUACAGAUACAGAGCAUCAUUGCGUUUACGUAUUGCCCAUCCCCUUGGCCAUUUGGCCACUUGGGCCAUAAUCUAGGUUGCCUAUGUUCCUUGGAUAUGCAUAAUUACUACUACUUCUUAGUAGCUGAUAUGAUUGAAUCUGCCAUUAAUCUAUCCUCGUAUACAUGUGCGUGCAGGGCUACACCGUUCAACGCGACCAGCUUCAACGCAUACGUGCUACAGGGGAGCGCGCCAGCCCUGCCGGAGACGAAGCGGCUGUACAACAAGCUGCGCUCGAUCGGCGUCAAGCCGGUGUUCCUCACCGGCCGGACUGAGGACCAGAGGGCCAUCACCGUCACCAACCUCCGCCGCCAGGGGAUCUCUGGGUGGAUGAACCUCUUGCUGAAGCAACCCGGGUUCAAGGGCUCUGCGGUGACCUACAAGUCCGGCGAGAGGCAGAAGCUGCAGGACGCCGGGUAUGUCAUCGUCGGUAACAUCGGCGACCAGUGGAGCGACAUCCUCGGCGCGCCAGAGGGUGCCCGCACCUUCAAGCUGCCCGACCCCAUGUACUACAUCGGCUAGGCCGCCUCUGGCUCGGCCGGGCAUGCUGCCAUUGAUUUCUCGAAUAAGCUCCAUGCUCUUAGUUAUAUGCAUGUUUCGUCAGAUAAUCAAUCCCCAAUUGUUGCUUGGUUCAUUUCCAUUGUUGAGAGCUUGAGAUCAAUUGCUACUAUGAAUUAGACGUGUAAGUGGAGAUGUUGCAUGCUGCUUAAUCAAUGGAUCUUUGUUAUGUUGUUUUUCUUUUUGCUCUAUUACAAGGAAUCCAUGGGCAUUAUUACUAUUUGAUAUCUUGUUCUUAAGUCUUAACUUGGAACUUAUAUUGCUGGUGGUAGAUUUUUCUGUACUAAAUUCUGCAUAUGGUGUAUUAAAUAUCAGGGACACAUAAUAUUGUCACACAUAUGGAAUCACUACUGCUAAAAUGACCAGUUCCUGAACCCAUCUGCUAUUGGGCCCAUUUUGGCCCGUCGGAGGAAGGGAUCAUCGUCGGUGGACAGGCAAAGAAGUGCUCGCAUAGACUCCUUCAAAAAAUGUGCCCUCAUAGACGACGGGUAUUUUCCACUGAUGUUGCGCAACUGGUGAUUGCAAUGUAGUUUGUGUCUUGCAUGUUGUAUGCAUAUGUAAUGAAUGUAACAUCUAAUAGUUAAUUAUGCAAGACAAAUAAAGCCCACCCUUUUCAGUAAGUUUAGAGCUAGAUUUGAGUUUGUCUUGGUCUCAUUUUUCUAAACAUACAAUCCUGGAGACAACUCGGUGAAGAAAUGAUGGUCCAAAUAGGUGUCUAACACGAAUCGUCAUCAAAGAAACCCUAUGGGAACCCACACUAUUCUAGUUACUUGGAUGAUUUGUAAUGAAAGAAAUAUAUGUGUCUUCCAAGUUAUUUUGACCAUGCCAAACAACAUCCCUGCUAAGAUAAAAAACGAUGUGGAGACUUGGAUAAAGGCCGGGCGAAGGAUCUGGGAAACAUUAUGCCAGGAGAGUAGUUCCGUUCUAUUAAUUUAUCCUUGGAUGACGUUUCGCGGAGAGAGGGGAGAGGGCGACCUGGGCGAUCUGGGAGCGUCGGGGGCCGCCGUGGGCAUCGUCGGAGAGGGGGAACAUCGGUACUCCUCCUCCGAUCUCGCAUCCCAGGCGCGGCGCCGGAGCCCGAUCUCGGCGGUGGAGGGACCUACUGUCCGUGUCCGAUGGAGAGUUGCGUACUCAGAGGCUGGUUAUUCGGAUCUGCGUGAGGGGCAGAUUGUUUUUCAUUCGGUUUCUCGUUGGAUGACACUACGGGAUGACGACGACGACAUCCUCGCCGGCUGCCAUCUCCAAGAGGAAGAUCUCAUCUGCGAAGGUGCGCAUUUCAUGGUGGAUAUCUUUUCUGUUACUUGUAUUUCUCCUUUCCUGCAGGUGAAUUCACAAGAACGGAUGCAGCCUGAUUUGGUGGACAUAUCUGACGAUGAUAAGAUCGCCUCACCAAGACUUCUCCCUCGAGUUGGGGGGAGGUUUUGGGUACUGGCUAAAGAUGAAGACGACGAGAACCACGACAUUGCCGUAGCACAGGAGGUCUCUGCUCCUUUCUGCGACCAGGUUUUCCAUCCGGCCACGAGGGAUUUUAUUCAUGCAUUGCCUGAUUCGAAGGUCGUUAAGGUAGUUCAACGCAAGGAGCGAUUGGCGAUUAAACCUUGGAGCGGUCCUCUGCCUAAGGUUCAUCUCGAACCAUUGCGGAUCUCGGACAUCAUACCUUGAGAGGCUUGGACUACUGUUUUGCCUAAGAGGAAGAACAAGGGUAAGAGCCGUAAAUUGCAGACGUCAGUCCCUGACAAGGUGCUGUCGUCCCGUGAUUCUCGCGAAUUACGUUUGAACGAGCCGAUGGCUGUUGUCGGGCCGUUGGGACCGGCGCUCGAGUUGGGCUUAAAAGAAACUGGGUAUAUGGCCCAGAUAGACUCCAAUCUAGCAAAACCUGCAAGUCCUACACCUACGGCUGCCCAGAUUUGCCUUGACGAGAAUCAUCAGGACUUGGUUUCUACGUCAAGUUUGCAUAUACCGAGUUCGGCUCUGCCUAGGGUUCCACGACGGCGUUUGCCUGGCUUCCCUUCGCUCGGGCCGGGUCGUGCAGUACGGGUUCCAGCGCUGCGGUGCAUGGCGGGGCGGGGAAACAAGCAGGCGCUGCCUCCCCCUCGACCACCGGCGGUUUCCCAGGCUGUGGGGCGGACUAGGCAGCAGCCCGUGAUGCCGCCAGGGCGCCAGACGGGCCAGGCUUCGGCUGCACCGGUUCCCGCUGCUGGUCAGGGUUUGCCCAACGCGGCUCGGGCGGAUACUAACAGGAUGCAGCCGAGAGGUCGAUGGGGGGAUGAUGGUGUUAAUGCAUAUGGUGAUGGACAGCACCGUGGAUCCUCUUCGUCUGGAGGAGGACGUGGCUAUGCCUGGCAGAGCAAUGGCAGCGCUGCUAAUGGGUUCGCCGGUCCUCCGGGACAGUUUGUGCCCCGGGUCUCGGGUCCUACUCACCCUAGGGAGGUGGAUAUAAGCAACAUUGGGGAGGGAGAGGUGGUGGCAGGAGAUUGAAGCCGCCCACGCCUCCAGUAGAGGUAGAUGCUGCCAAGACAACGGCGGGAGUACCUUCCAAUGCUCCUAAGGGGAAUACACUGCUGCCACCUGUUUCCGAGGAGGAUCCUUCCUUGGCUGACAAGGGAGUAUCGCUUGCGAAGGCAGAGGGGGGGGGAUAGGCCCUCCAAGUGGGCACGCAAAAAAGAAAAGAUGACAUGCUACCGUUGCAGUGAGACGGGUCAUUUUGUUUCCGAAUGCAGCGCGGAUCUGUGUGACUUUUGCUUAAAGCCUAAGCAUGGCUCAGCUAAGUGCCCCCUUACUGUUGGUCCUAUACAUGUCGUCACUUUAUAUGGGGUUUGCUGCCAAGAGUUGAUGUUCUUUGAAUCUCCCUCUGCUUCAACGUCGUUGCAUGUGCCAGACGCGGCCUAUACGGGGACGGUUACGGUGGCUCGUGGUAAUAUGUCAGCUGAGCAGGUGGUGCAACAGUUGAGGGAUCUUGUUUCAUCAAUGUUUCGGUGGGAACUGGUCCUUAUAGCAGAUAAUGUGUUCAAGGUUGUGUUCCCUACCAAGGAGGACCUAGCUAGACUGCUCAAGUUUGGUAUGUGUCGGGUUCCUAGUACUAGUUGUGUGCUAGAGUUCGAUGCUUGGAAGAAUGAGGAGCCAUAAGGUGUGCCACUUCCUCAGAUUUGGGUUCGUUUUUCAGGGGCCCCGUCAAAGGCUCUAAAUGACUUUCUGGUGACUUGGAGUUUGGGAUCUUUGAUAGGUAAGACUGAGAGGGUGGAUAUGCAAUAUACUCGGGCUAAAGGUGUUGCCAGGAUGAGGGUUAGUGUAAUUGAUAUUGCGCUAGUACCGGAUGAAGUUAUAUGGACUUAUGAUGGAAUGCGGUACACCUUGCAACUCGAGAUCGAGAGUCCGGAUAUGUUCGAGGAGGAUGGGACAGACAAAGAUACCGAUAUGGCUGACGGAGAUGAUGCUUCGGGUUCUAGGGAAUCUGAUAAGAAGGAUCAACAGCCAGUUAUUACAAAGAUGGUGGAUCAACCUACCUCAGGUUCUGCUACAGGGGCUGCUCAACCAGUGUCUCUUCCCUCGACGCAGCUUAGGUUCGGUUCCUUUGAACCAGCCUCGGCGCCAGAGAUUCGAGGGAGGGCUUCAGAGAAGUAUGAGCGGGAUCUGGUUCAUCUUAAGCCGCAAGGAAAGCAAGCAAAGUCAGGGUCAUUCAGUAUUAAAAAUCCUAAGGAAGCUUUGACCGUAGUUUCUCUUGGGGAAUAUUUUGUUGUCGCUAGGAAUGCUGAUACGGGCCGGUCUCAGCAACGUGAUGCAGUGCAGCCAGCAAGGCAUAUGUUGUCCGGGUUGGGUACUGUGCCGAGGGGUGCGCCGCCUGGGUCGCCUAGGCAGGGUUCGCUGCUGCUGUAGAGUCCAUCGCCAGCCACCCAGGGGGUUGCUGUUUCUCGGCCAGCCACCCCUGGGGCUGCUACCUUUUUGCCAGCCACACCGAGGGCAAUUACAGCGACUCCUCCUCCUGGCCUACUUCCGUCGUUGGAUGCUGCUGCGAGAUCCACCCCUGCUGCUGGUUUCAUGUCAGCCGAGAGAUCAACCCCUGUUGCUGCGGUUCCUAUCGCUACUAUGGCUGCAACCGGGGCAUCAUCUUUGCGGGUGUCAGGGCUGGAGGGUACUGGUCAGGGGCACCAUGGCGAGGUCGUUGCACCGCCGUCUGUUGAGCAGGUCAUAGCAUACGGAGGUAUUCAAAGUCCGCUGACUUCGGACAGGAGGUCCAGUCGGCGAAUUCAGAAUCAACCUGAUGCGGAUUAUUUACAGAUGGGACGUGCUAUGCGUGCGGCUAAAAUGAGAGAUGUCGAAACUGAGACAGGUAUGUCUUUCAGCAUUAACGAUUCUAUUCUUCAUUUUUCUCCUCAAGAUAUUCUAGAUAAGGCAGGUUCUAUUGGGGUUACAUUGGGGAACAAUGGCCGAGAAAUUUCGAAAUCUAUUAAUGAUCUAUUAGACUUAGAGGUCGAUAGAGCGUUAGACUUAGUACGAAAUUUAGCGGCAGUUAAACCAAUGCAAGAGUCUGAAGUUAACGAUCUAGGGGGACUGAAUUCUCUUUGUGAUAGUCUGGCCCCGUCAGUGGAUAUAGAGGAUGGUGCGGGCGAGGUUUUAGUUGGUCAAGGGAUGUGUGCCCAAUCUCAUAAGGCUGAGCCUCAAUUCUCUGGUUAUAUGGACCAGGAGUUGCUGGAAAAGCCGAAGCGUCCAUGGAGACGGAAAGUGUAUCCGGUCUCUGCGAUACGUAGAAGUGCUAGAUUUAAGAUUGCCAAAAAAAAUUAUGAUGAUUAAUGAGAGGAAUUUUUUGGAAUAGCAGAGGUCUUUGAGACUUGGCUAAAAGAAGAUUUCUAGCAGAGGCUACUUUAGAGCAUCACCUUGAUUUUAUCGCAGUGAUGGAGACAGGGAGGGAUAACUUUACGUCUCAUUUUUUAAGUUCUCUAUCAGCUGGGGUGGAUUUUGACUGGCACUGUCUCCCUCCAAGAGGAAGGUCCGGUGGGAUCUUACUUGGGGUCCGUUGUGACACUUUUCAAGUGCGGGAGGUGGUGUUUGGGGAGUUUGCAGUCAAAUUCAAGAUUAGAUCUAAGGAUGACGGGUUCCAAUGGGCUCUCGUUGCCGUCUAUGGCGUAGCACAGCCAGAUCUAAAGCCUGAUUUCCUAGCAGAUCUGGUCAGGAUUUGUGAUGACAAACUACCAUUGCUGGUAGGUGGAGAUUUUAAUAUUAUUAGGCGGGCUGAUGAAAAAAGUAGUGUUAAUUUUGAUGGAAGAUGGCCUUUCAUGUUUAACACAAUUAUUGAGAGCUUAGAUAUGAGGGAGACCGCUCUAUCAGGUAGGAAAUAUACCUGGGUGAAUGCUCUACAGAAUCAGACAUUUGAAAAGUUGGAUCGUGUCUUAACUAGUGUAGAGUGGGAGCAGAAGUUCCCUCUAGUAACUGUUAGAGAACUUCAACGCGCAAUCUCGGAUCAUACUCCUCUGUUGCUGGAUUCCGGUGAGGCUAGCCAUAUAGGAAACAAACAUGGAUUCUCUUUUGAAUCAAGUUGGUUCACAAGGGAGGGGUUCAUGGAUAUGGUCGAGAGGGAAUGGAAUACAGAGGUCAGGGGCGAAACCUCUAUAGAAAGAUGGCAGUAUAAGAUUAGACAUCUUAGACAGUAUUUGAGGGGCUGGUCUAAGAAUGUGUGUGGAAUAUAUAAAGAAGAGCAAGAUAAGCUCCUCAAACUUAUAGACAAUCUAGAUCGGAAGGCUGAGAGUUGUCUUCUGGAUGCUAACGAAAGGGAUCUCAAAUUCGAGGCCGGACAGCGCUUGCGUAUUCUCCUAAGAGAGGAGGAAAUGAAAUGGGCGCUUGAGCCAAAGUGAAGGCCAUAGUUCUUGGAGACAAUAACACUAAAUUUUUCCACUUGAUUGCAAAUGGCAAGCAUAGGAAAAAGAAAAUAGUGCAGCUUGAGCAAGAUGAGGGUACAAUACUAGGUCAUGAGAAUCUAAAAUUGUACAUCUCUAACUACUACAAACAUUUAUUUGGUGCUCCUGAGCAUAGCUUUGUGACUAUGGAUGAGCAAAAAGUGGCGGAUAUUCCUCAAGUUGGAGAGGCUGACAAUGAGAUUUUAUCCGCUCCUUUCUCAGAGAAAGAGGUGUUUGACGCGAUAGGGAAUAUGAAGAAUGGAAAAGCUCCCGGUCCAGAUGGGUUUCCGGCGGAGUUUUACAAGCACUGUUGGCAUAUUAUUAAGAAUGAUCUUAUGUCAAUGUUUGCUGAUCUUUUUAGUGGUCACCUUCAACUCUUCCAUUUGAAUUUUGGUACUAUUACACUCUUACCAAAGAAGGAAGGGGCCACGCGGAUUGAACAGUUUCGUCCGAUCUGUUUGUUGAAUGUUAGCUUCAAGAUUUUCACAAAGGUGGGAACAGAUAGGUUGACUAAGAUGGCCCAUUCGGUGGUACAAUCUACGCAAACAGCUUUUAUGCCAGGACGGAAUAUCCUUGAAGGAGUCGUUGUCUUGCAUGAAACUCUUCAUGAAAUGCACUCGAAGAAACUAGAUGGGGUUAUCUUUAAAGUGGAUUUCGAAAAAGCUUACGAUAAAGUCAAAUGGUCGUUUCUCCAGCAAACCCUACGUAUGAAGGGUUUCGAUGAGCUGUGGCGUAGGCACGUCGAUUGUUUUAUAAAGAAGGGAAGUGUGGGUGUCAAAGUGAAUGAUGAUGUGGGUCAUUUUUUCCAGACACUAAAGGGUCUCCGCCAAGGAGAUCCAAUGUCUCCCAUUUUAUUUAACAUUGUUGCUGAUAUGUUGGCACUGCUGAUUAAGCGGGCCAAUGAGAAGGACCUUGUAAGGGGCUUGAUCCCUCAUCUUGUUGAGGGGGGGAGUCUCCAUUUUACAAUAUGUGGAUGACACGAUUCUUUUUUUGGAGCAUGAUCUCAGUAAAGCCAGGAACCUCAAACUUAUCCUAUGCUUAUUUGAACAGCUAUUAGGGCUGAAGAUAAAUUUUCAUAAAAGUGAAUUGUUUUGCUUUGGAAAGGCCAAGGAUGAGCAGCUCACGUAUAAUCAAUUGUUUGGUUGUGCUAGCGGGAGUUUACCUUUUACUUAUUUAGGGAUCCCAAUUCAUCACAGAAAAUUAUCAAAUAAGGAUUGGAAAUGUAUCGAGGACCGUUUCGAAAAAAGUUGAGCUGUUGGAAGGGCGAGCUCUUAUCGUAUGGAGGAAGGUUGAUACUGGUUAAUUCAGUAUUAACAAGUAUGCCUAUGUUUCUCCUAUCCUUCUUUGAAGUACCUGUUGGGGUACGGAAAAGGUUGGAUUUCAAUCGAUCACGGUUUUUCUGGCAAAGUGAUGAGAUCAAGACUAAAUACAGACUCUCGAGAUGGGACAUCAUGUGUAGACCUAAGGAUCAAGGAGGUUUAGGGAUUGAAAAUUUAGAGAUUAAAAAUAAAUGUCUACUCAAUAAAUGGCUGUCUAGAUUAUCUAUGGAGACAAAGGGGUUGUGGGUACAAAUUCUGACGAAUAAAUACCUACAAAACAAGACUUUGGCGCAGGUUACAUUGAGACCAACUGAUUCACCGUUCUGGAAGGGGGUCAUGCGGUCUAAGAAUGCUUUUUUUCUCAGGUCUAAGUUUGUUAUUGGCAAUGGCCAAUCUACUAGAUUUUGGGAGGAUACUUGGUUGGGGGAGACGCCUUUAGCCAUGCAGUAUCCGCAACUCUACCAUAUUACACAAAGGCGUCAGGCGACUGUUGCGUCAAUUUUGCGCCAGGUUCCUCUAAAUAUUCAGUUAUGUAGAGCCUUAAUAGGUAACACAUGGUCAAGCUGGCUGCAUCUAGUGAGAAGGUUGUUGGAUAUUACCCUUACUGAGAACCCUGAUAGUGUUCGUUGGAAGUUGACCACUGAUGGAGUUUUCUCGGUAAAAUCUAUGUAUUUAGAUCUCAUAGAUUCUGUGUCCAUCCCGAAGUCCUUACAUAUUUGGAAGGUCAAAGUUCCACUUAGAAUUAAGAUCUUCAUGUGGUUUGUUCGCAAGGGGGUUAUUCUAACUAAGGAUAAUUUGGUCAAACGUAAAUGAAAAGGUAAUACUAGAUGCAGUUUUUGUGAGAACGAUGAAACAAUUAAACACCUCUUUCUGGACUGUCCUAUGGCUAAACUUCUAUGGCGAACACUUCUUAUUACUUUCAACAUUAAGCCACCCAAUAGUUUAAACACGUCAUUUGGGACGUGGUUAAGAGGGGUCGAUGAUAUAACUGCUAGCCUGAUCCGAGUAGGAUCAUGUGCACUUCUGUGGGCUACAUGAAACUGUAGAAAUGACUUGGUAUUUAACAAACAUCAACAUAUUCACUUUUUGCAGGUCAUUUUCAGGGUUAUUGCCUUGAUCCGCACAUGAUCAUUACUCACUCCUGUGGAAGCCAGGGAGCCUAUGGUUACUGGGUGUGUCCGAUGGAAGAUGGUAGCUCAGGUUAUCUUCAACCGUUUUGGAUGACGGCAUAUUAAUAGGAUAGGUGUUUAGUCAUCUAGGCUUAUUUCAAUGCCUCCCGGUUGUGGCGACGACGCCGUGUAUCUUUUUGUUAUUUUCUUCAUUUACUUAUCUGAAGACUCUUUGUACUUUUCGAGGAUUUGGUUUUGAAAUAAUAUAUGGCCGUAUGCAUCCUUCGAUGCCGAGGCCGGGGCUUUGCCUCCUUUUCAAAACAAAAAAAUUUAAUUUAUCCUUUCAUUGUUAACCCCUUUUUUGGACUGCAGUUAUUCUAACUCUCUUUUAAGUAAUGUAAUAAGGCAUAUCUUUUUCCUCCAUUUCGAGACAAAGUUCGGACCUAGCACAACUGUAACAUCCGCUCUACAUCGACUCACUCUAGAGAGACUAGUCUUGGCACCUUUUGCAGAACAUGAUUAGUGUCCUGACAUGGAGUAUUUUAGCAUAUAAUGGUCAACUCUCAAGCACAUAUCACUUCAAAUUGCAUUGCUGAAAAAGAACAUACACUUGCACGUUUUUCGAACUUUCACGCAACAAUAAAGUAACUCAAUGAAAUAUUAUGAUACACUCAAAAACAAUAAUAAGCACUCAACAAAAUAUCAACAGUUUUAUUUUGAUGGACGUAGUAGGACUGUAUCUGUUGUCCACUUGGCUACUUUAUCAACAUAUUUAUUUCAACCACCCUGAUCAACAGACAAUAUCUAAGUAUGUUAUGCUAAUUGAGUUAAAAUGGAUAAUCCUUAUUUUAUAAGAUGCAAGGAGUCGAAACAUAUUGUGAUUAGUUGCAUGCUACUAGCCUACUACAACACUAUUGAUCUUAGUUAAGAAGAUUAUCUUGUGAUUAGACGAAGUCUAGAUCAUCUAGCCAAGUAUGAAAAUAUUUAAAGGAGCGUGUGGAUACCUUUUCUUCUUUAAUAAAGGAAAAAAAAUUGUGUAUAUAUGCGAGUCUGAAAACAAAGAAAAGAAAGAUGGACAGCUUAUCACAGCUUCACAUAUGUCAUCUACUCCCUGCGUUCCUAAAUAUAAGUCUUUUAAAAGAUUUUACUAAAAGACUAUAUAUGAAGCAAAAUGAAUGAAUCUACAUUUUAAAUAUAUCUAUAUACAUUCUUUAGAAAGACUUAUAUUUAGGAACGGAGGGAGUAAUAGCUAAUUGAGGGGUUCAAAUAACUUUGUUUCGCAAUAAUGAUUGAAAAUCAACCUUUUGUUGAAAUCCGAAACUCUACGUACGGUAGACCUAUUUUUAUCAAGGGAAUCAACAAAGAUGAUCUGCUACAUAAAAAUGCGCGUAUGGUCACUCACGAGCCACAAGGACGAUGCUUGAGUAGUGAUGAGUGAGGUGCACGAUGAGAUUAAAUAUUCCAACUAGUGUAACCGAAAAGUAUAGUAAGUUAGACAUCGUUCUUGGUCCACGAAAAUAGUGGCGUGAUCGAUGACAUCUUGAUGCCGGCCGGAGACUAGGAUCUGGCUGUUUGAUAGGGUACCAAUUAAUUUAUACCCUCCACUUGGCCAACUUACUUCAUCACCAGUCGAUAACUGUAUACGCAUUGUUCCAUAUUCAUGCAUGCACGUGCUUACAGCCCAAGAGCAUUGGGUUUAGCUGGUGCUGUCUGAUCCGCUUGAACUCGUAGAAAAAGGGCCUUUGGCCUGGACCCUUUAGUCCCAGCCUGUCUUUCGGUCGGAACUAAAAGCCGGCCACGUCAUCCCAAAUUAUCAGUUUAACCCGCUUGGCCACCAUUUAUAUCAUUAAAAAACCUCAAAUUUGUAGCGGGGUGAGUUUACAUGUUACCUUGGAUCGCCAUUGUUUUUUUGGCCCUGCGUGUAACGACGAUGGCCGGAGUAGGCUCGUGCAGAUUAGUCCUCCUCUUGGUAAUUAAGGAGUAUAUAUCCACUAGCUAGUGUCUGACAUUCAGAACCUCCACUCGAUGGCCAGAGUAUUUGAUAUUUAUACUCUCCUCUUGGUAAUUAAGGAGUGCAUAUCCACUAGCUAGUGAUCUAAACGUUUCUAUAUUAAUUUAUGGAGGAAAUAUUUAAUAAGGUUAUUACCCAACAUUACAGGCGCCAUCCGAUAAACCAUAUCACUUUUUUUUGCGAGGACCUAAACCAUAUUCAAAAUGCAGAAUUACUGGCACGUGGUGUAGUUUACGGAUCGAGCCUCCUCCUUCGUGGGCACCAUAGUAGUCAUGCAAGACAUCGUAGUUAUAUAGUGGUCAAGUGUGAGUUAUGAUUGCUUGUAUAUUUUUUAUGCGAUUUAUGAGUCAAUAAAAGUGCUUUUAUUGAGAAAUGUAUCUAUAUUGAUUAUUGUUGAACCUGCCAUUAAUGUAACUAUUUACACAUGUGCGGGGCCAUGCCGUCCAACACGAGGAGCUUCAAAGCGUAUGUGUGGGAGGGGAGUGCGUCGAUGCUGCAAUGACGAACUGCUCUUGGUCGGCGUCCAGCCGGUGUUCCUCACCGGCCAGACCGAGGACCAUAGGGACAUCAUCGUCACCAACCUCCACCGCCCGAGUUCAAGGGCUCCACGGUAACCUACAAGUCUCAUGAGAGGCAGAAGUUGCCGACGACCUGGUAUGUCAUCGUGGGCACCAUUGAUGACCAAGGGAACGACAUCCUGGGGGUAUCCGGUGGGGGGCACACCUUCAAGUUGCCCGACCACAACGGCUAGGCUACAUAGAGAUCGGCCAUGCCUUGAUUGAUUUCUUGAGUAAGCUCUAUGCUUUCAAUUGUAUGCAUGUUUAGUAAACAAUCCCUCCCUAGUUGUUGCUUUGUUCAUUUUCAUUGUCGAGAACUUGAGAUCAAUAGUUAGUAUUUAUAAGACGUGUUACGCUAAAAGUUGCAUGCAACAUAAUCAAUGGUUUGUUGGUUUUAUUGUUUCUCUCUAUUACGAGAUCCAUGGGCUAUAUUGUUGUUUGAUGUAUUGUAAUUCUUAACUUGGAUCUGUAAUAUUGAUCAUGGUGUACUUUUUAACUAAAGAUUGUUGAUGGUGGAAUUAGUAUGAAAGGUACAUAGUGCUGUCACACAUAGGGUGUCACUACUCCCAUUUUGGCCCAACAGAAGGAAGGGUCAUCAUUUACGGGUCACCAGACUGCGUUAGUAUAGAGGCAACAAGGUAUUUUAACCAUGCCGAACAUCAUUAUUGUGAAGAUUAAAAAUGAGGCGGCAACUUGGGUCAAUUUUUGGGGUGGAGGAUUUGAGAAACACUAUGCCCCGUGAGAAACUCCGCUAUAUUAUUUAAGUCUUUCGUUUUUAGCCUCUCUUUUUUCGGCAGCGGUUCUUCCAACUCUCCUAGUAAAUAGAAAGGGGGAAAGAAAAUCUUUUGCCUCCAUUUUGAAAAAGAAAAGGUUGAGACUAACAUCCCUUUCCAUCGACCCACUCUAGAGAGUGUCUCCAACCUUGUUUUCUUGGCCCUUUUGCAUGACAUGAGUAGUGUCCUAACAUGGACUCCUUGAUGUGUAACGCUCAGCUCUCCUGACCAAAUCGCUUAGAAUUACAUCACACGCAAAAGUUAUAUACUUUUGCAUGUUUUUCGCACGUCAAUGCAACAUUAAAAAUUUCAAUGAAACAUUAUGAUACAUUUUGAAACAAAAAAGAACUCAGCAAAACAUACUGUGGAAAUAGAAAAUUUUUGCCAACAACUAAAAAAACGCAGUCAUCAAUUUAGCCGCAACAAAAAUAAGAUGUUAGAAGUCAGAACAUCUUGUGCAUGAUUAUAUGCUAUAGGACUAUUCAUUAGAGAAACUAGUUGGGUAAAACUUUCUCCUUUUUCCGAAUCUCCUUUUUAAUGUGGGGAAAAAGCUAAUGCAUUGUGGUUUAAAGUAAAUAUUACAUCGGCCUGGGAAAUUUAAAAUGAAUCUAGACUGGACGGCUACAAAGAGAACCAUAAAAGUAUUCAAGCACGUCAGAAGAAAAGGAAAGAUAAAAUUCAAAAAAGAAAAGAGAAAAGGAAAGAUGAACAACCUAUCACUUGCCUCAUAUCUUUACCUAAUAAUAAAGAGGCUAUUGCUUCCGUCGAAAAACCCACCGCUGCCGUUUUUUAAAAAGCCCCCUGUCUUUUAGGUAAUUAAACCCGCAGUACCUUUUUAUGUGUUACGAACAUGAAAACGUUUCAUUUUUGCAGGGAGCCUCCCAUGGCAUUGGAUAAGAGAAACGCAUCUGGGCUGACGAAAACGCACGAGAGGGCUAUCGCUUCUGCCCUCAUAAUCCCACAUCGAUACUUCACAGAUAAUUUCAUCACUUUAUAUACAUGCGCCUUGGUGAUUUUACAAGAGGCAACGGAAAUCAAGAGAGGAACAAAUUCGAGAAGAAGAAAUUGAGAUGACGCAAACAGAGGUGGAGCUGCGAGACAGAGGGGGCUCGGGGCGAAGGAAAGGGUCGGGCGCCGGCGAUGCAUACGUGGAGGUGGGGGCGUCGGGGUUAGAGGAUUCAGGCAACCGGCGGGGUAAGUCUUGCCGGAGACUGGCCCCAUAGGCCGACCUCGCAGCAGCACACCAUGGGAGGUGGUCGCGAGGUGCAGAGGUGGGAGGCGGUGGAGGAGCGGAGGAGGAGGCGAGUGCGGGCGCCAUUGGAAGGGGGGAGUCGGGGAGAUUGGGGAUCCUGUGGGGCUCUCUCCCCUAGCGGCGCGAGGUGGAGGAGAGGAGGGGGGCUGGGGAUCGGGCUAGGUUAGGGGAUUUAGGAGUGGGUAAGGCUAUGCCUUGGCACGCCUAAUGGGUUGUGCACUACUACUCAUCUCUCUUUCCUUUAAUUUCUUUAUCUAAAUUCUUUAAUUAAAAAUAUGUGGUAUUAUUUUUUUUCCGUUGCAACGCACGGGUCCUUUUGCUAGUAUCAUCUAACAAAUCGAGGGGUUCGCAUAGAUCUGCUUCGCCACAUAAUAAUAUAAUCAUGACAAAAGGCUACCUUCUGGUGAAAGCAGAAGCUCUGCAAUAAAGCUGCAAUCGUAGACCUAUUUUAUGAAGGGAACCAACAAAUCGAGCUGCACAAUCCAAUUAAAUACUAAUUCCUCCGUUCCUAAAUAUAAGAUUUUUUAAAGAUUAUAUUAUGAACUACAUAAAAAGAAAAAUGAAUGAAUCUAUAUUUUAAAAUAUGUUUAUAUACAUUUGUAUGUAGUUCAUAGUUAAAUCUAUAAAAGGUCUUAUAUUUAAAAACAGAGGGAGUAUAAGUACUGAGUAAGUUUGACAUUUGUUCUUGGUCCAACAAAACAGUCGUGUGACCCAUGACGAAGCGGCGAUGCCGGAGUUGGAUCUCACUGUCUGAUAUUUAUCGAUUUGUGCCCUCCACUUGGCCAGCUUAAUUGAUCACCAGUCUCUUUCAUUGACAAUUAGUGCUGCUCAUACACGUGCGUUGCAUACAGAUGAUAUAUUGGGUUUAGGUACGGCUGUCUGAUCCACUUGGCCACCUUCUCACUAGAAAGCUCAAGUUUGCAGCGACGAGUUUGCAUGUUACUACAUUGGAUCGCCGUUGUUUAGCCCUGCGUGUGUGAUGAGGGGCGGAGACCCGGAGCAGACCCGUGCAGAUUCGUAUUCCCUUGGUUAUGUUUUAUUCUGUAUAUUAGGUUUGUAUAAUGUAAAACCUAAAUUUGCUUCGCCACAUAAUAUAAAAUAAUAUAAUCAUGACAAAGGCUACCUUCUGGUGAAAGCAGAAGCUCUGCAAUCAAGCUGCAAUCGUAGACCUAUUUUAUGGAGGGAACCAACAAAUCGAGCUGCACAAUCAAAUUAAAUACUACUCCCUCCCUUUUUAAAUAUAAAAACUUUUAAAAAUUAUACUAUGAACUAUAUAAGAAACGGAAUGAGUGAAUCAAUACUCUAAAAUACUCCCUCCGUUCUAAAAUAGGUGUCUUAACCUUAAUACAAUUUUGUACUAGAUCUAGUACAAAGUUGAGACAAUUAUUUUAAGACAGAGAGAGUAUGUCUAUAUAUAUUUAUAUGUAGUUUAUGUUGGCUUUGGAUCCGUAGAUUAAUUCACCCAGUAGCUACCACAUACGUGCAAGCUAGCCUCUAAGCUAGCAAGCAGGCACACAAGUGGAUGGAUAUCCAAUUCGUAGAAAUAGAACGACGUACGACGAGCUAGCUAACUGAUUCGAUCGUCUUGACUGCUCGGAAUGUAACUCGUUGAAAAACUGAUCGAUGGAUUGCUAACAGGCUCGUAUCGAGCCUGGUACUUUUUUAUUGCGUUUUGAUCUCUGGUGUUACAAGCAACAUCUCUAGGAUGCCUUUUAUACACAUCCACAAGGAACUAUGAAAAUAGACUAGGACUAGGUAUCCUAAUACUACUAGAACUCGGUUUGAUUUUCUUUCCUAAUCCUAUGUGUACAAGGCAACGUGAUUAACUCACAUUCACCCCCUAAUCACGAUGUCCUUACUUCCGACCUGGGUCCCAAACACGAUUGCUGCUUCUCAUAAAUGUUAUCAUCGACAUGGCCUUUGUCGUCCCUUGCAACAUUUUAUGGACCGUCUUUACUGUCGUCGGCUCGUCCGUAGCUCGAUGACAACACUCCUUUUUGGUCGUGUCUUCAAUCUUCAUCUCUUCUUCGGUGCUUUGUAGACUGUCCUUCGGAUCAUCGAGGGUACAUCUUUUGAACCUGAGCGUGACCAUACUUUGGUCUAACUUUGAAUUUCAAGCUCUUGGCGCUUGCAUCAGCCCGUAACUUUGAACCACAAGGAAGAAGUACUUCUUUCCUCCGUGAGUUGCUGGGGUGAUAGGGCCACAUAGAUCACCAUGGAGCAGCUAGAGUGCAUCACUUGCACGAUAGGUAGACUGAGCAGGGAACGGCCUGCGGUGCUGUUUUCCAACCAAGCACCCGUCACAUACUCGAUCAACAUGGUCGAUAACUGGCAUCCCGGAUACCAUCUCCAUCUUUGACAUCUUCUUCAAGGCGUAGAAGUUAACAUGUCCGAAUCAUCAUCACUCUUGGCGAGCCAACACUCCAGUUGAGAUUGAUCAAGGUUGAGGAUAUAGAGCCUGUUCCGUGUGCGAGUAACACGAGCUAGCACGUUUCGGAGGUUGUCGAAGAUCGUCAUUACUCCGUUAUCGAUACCCACCUUGCAUCCAUUCUCGUCAAGCUUCCCAAUAAAGAUGAUGUUGUUGUGAAGCCGUGGGAUGUAGUACACUCCGGUAAGUAUGCGAUGUUCGCCUGUGAGACCCUCGAAGAGGACAGAUCCUUGCCCACAAAUCUCCACAUUUGAACCAUCACCGAACUUGACUGAGCCUUCAACAUCGUAUUCCAGCUCGAGGAAUUUCUCCUUGCACCCCGUCAUGUGGUUACUGGCACCCGUGUCGAGAUACCACAACACAUUCUGAUCACCAGCUAACUUCGGUGUCACUUUGUUUUCAUGAAGUAGCACCUUCCGGCUUGGUUUCACAACCACCGUUUCAGCGAGAUCACAAACUUCGGCCAUCAGAAGACCUGGACCUUCGUCUUCCUCCUUUGCCAAAUUUGCCUUGAUCUCUCGCUUGUCAUGCUCCGGACAAUCCUUUGCAAAGUGACCCAUCUCGUUGCAGUUAUAGCACUUGACCUCGGACAUAUCCAAGUUCCGUUGCUUCCGCCCUUUAGAUCGGUCAGCCUUACCACGACCUUGUAGCUUGCCUUUUCCUUUGCCUUCUCCGGUUUGUCCGCCGCGCGUUGUGCUGCUUGAGCCUUCGUUGCCAUCACACCUUCCUUUGCUACUUGGGGACUCCCAAUCUGCACGUGAGUACAUGAGUUGGUCACUACCUCCUCCGUUGCCUUCCCGACAACUACGAGAAUUCUCUUCCCACGUCCGCAGGCGUCCGAUCGCCUCCGUUAUGGUCAUGUCGUCGAUGUCGUAAAGCUGCUCGAGCGUGCCAAUGAUGUACGUGAAUUUUUUAGUCACCGAACUGAAAAAUUUCUCCACAAUCUCGGUCUCCUCGAGCUUUGCACCAAGCGCGCGGAUCUCUCCCACCAAAGUAGUAAGACGCAUGGCAUAGUCGUUCACCGAUUCAGUUUUCUCCAUCUGCAACUUGUGAAAUUGGCGCUUCAGCACUUGUGCCCGAGCCUUGGUGACGCGAUCUUCUCCGAUCCUCAUCUCGUUGAGUGCGUUCCACGCCUCUCUUGCCGUCUCGAACUCCACCAAUGUCAUCAGCACGGAAUCCGGCACAGACUGGGCUAUGGCGGCCAUGGCACCUUCGUCGCGCUCCUCGUCGACGUCGUCGUCCGUGAUGGCCUCCCACACUCGAAGAGAUCGGAGAAUAAUCUUCAUCUUCACCGCCCACACGUCAUAGUUGGCAUCGGUGAGCAUCGGGUACUGGAUGGGGAUGUUGCGAUGCGCCUGGACGUUGGCGCUGCUCGUUCCUCCAUCACUCGUUGCUGACUUGUCGUCCUUCUUCACCUUGUCGUCGUUCUUGUUCGCCUUGGCACCGCCUUUGCCGGAUUUGACCGACUCAGCGUCGCUGUCCGUCAUCGUAGAUCGUAGAUCGUCGAGGCUCUGAUACCAAUUGUUGGCUCUGGAUCUGUAGAUCAAUUCACCCAGCAGCUACCACGUACGUGCAAGCUAGCCUCUAAGCUAGCAAGCAGGCACACAGGUGGAUGGAUAUCCAAUAGAACGACGACGAGCUAGCUGACUGAUUCGAUCGUCUUGACUGCUUGGAACGUAACUCGGUGAAAAACUGAUCGAUGGAUUGCUAACAGGCUCGUAUCGAGCCUGGUACUUUUUGUAUUGCGUUUUGAUCUCUGGUGUUAUAAGCAACAUCCCUAGGGUGUCUUUUAUACACAUCCACAAGGGACUAUGAAAAUAGACUAGGACUAGGUAUCCUAAUACUACUAGGACUCGGUUUGACUAUCUUUCUUAAUCCUAUGUGUACAAGGCAACGUGAUUAACUCACAGUUCAUAGUUGAAUCUUUAAAAGGGCUUAUAUUUAAGAACGAAGGGAGUAUAAGUAGUGAGUAAGUUUGGGACACGCCGUUUUGGCUCCCGGACUCAGAUGAGCCCGAGCGUAAACAGUACGCCAGUUUGGGGUGCAAAAAAUGUUCCAAAAAAUCAAAAAAAAUUGUGAUGCAAGAUGCUCCUAUGUGUGAACUCUCUGUAAAAUUUUGUGAAGUUUGGACAUACGAGGAGCUCACUGCAAAAAAGACGAAAUUCAGAUGUGUGAGAAACUUUUGAAAAUCACACUAUUCAUGCCUGAUUUUGUCUUUUUUGCUGCAAACUCUUCAAAUGUCCAAACUUCAUAAAAUUUUACAGAGUUCACACAUCGAAGCAUCUUGCAUCAUAAAAAAAUAUUUUUUUUAAACUUUUUUGUAUUCCAAACCGUUGUACUGUUCACCGGGCUCAUACGAGCCCGGGCUCACAGAUGGAUUACCGGUAAGUUUGACAUUUGUUCUUGGUCCAACAAAACAAUGGUGUGAUCGAUGACCAAGCGGCGAUGCCGGAGUUGGAUCUCGCUGUGUGAUAUUUAUCGAUUUGUGCCCUCCACUUGGCCAGCUUAAUUGAUCGCCAGUCUCCUUCAUUGACAAUUAGUGCUGCUCAUACACAUGCGUUGCAUACAAAUGAUAUAUUGGGUUUAGGUACGGCUGUCUGAUCCACCUGGCCACCUUCUCACUAGAAAAGCUCAAGUUUGCAGCGACGAGUUUGCAUGUUACUACUCCCUGUGUACCGAAAUAUAAGACCUUUAAGAAAAAUUCCGACCAGAUGAAAAUGUGGACAAUUGACCAGGUUACCCCCCACCUCCGGCAGCUCGCUAAUUUCAAAUCAACCCAGAUCCAGUCGCCCCCCACCUCCGGCCAGCUCGCUAAUAACCCAGAUCUCACUACUCUGCUUGUCCGCUCCCUCCUCUGCCCCAGCUUGUCCGCUCCCUCCUCUGCCCCAGCUUGUGCGGCCCCUCCUCUGCCCCUACCUCCUCUGCCCAGCUCGUCUGCUAGCUACCAGCAGCUUCUCCAGUAGCCAGCGGCAGCAGCUCCUCCGGCAGCUAGCAGUAGAUCCAGCAGCUCCUCCACCAGCCAAUAGGAACUCCAGCAGCUCCUCCACCAGCUAGCACGAGCUCCAGCAGCUCCUCCACCAGACACCAGCACCAGCUCAUCCACCAGCCAGCGGCAGCCCCUCUGUCUGCCGGCAGAAGCAGCUCUUCCGCCUCUGCACUCCCAGCUGCCUCAACGAGGUCCUCUCCCAGUGAUGCACCCAUCGCCCAACAGAUCGCCGGAGGUUUUUCUUUUGAUCCAGGGUGCAGAUCGCCACAGGAGGUCCUAGUGGUGUUGGAUCCUGCUUAUCCCGUCUCCUGCAAACCAAAAAAGCAGGACAAUUAGAGGGUAUUUAUCACAACUUAGCAACAGUUGAACAGAAAACAGUUUAACAACAGCAGCAAAAAUUUUAGCGAGAUCAACAACAUCAGUAGCAGCAUCAAGACAUAGCAACAAUAGCAGCAAUAGGGAGACAUAGAAGUAGCGACAUGGAGUGGCAGCAGGAGUUCAUCAAAAUCAAUAGGGAGUAGCAGCAGCAGGAGUUCAUCACAAUCAAAAUCAACAGGGAGUGGCAACAACAUGGAAUUUGACCUCAACUGUACUCCGCCCGAAGAAGAUGAGAUCAGUCAAAAUGAGAUCAACAUGGAGGACUCACAGGGAGGCAAUGAUCAUGUUGAAGAUGAGAUCAACAUGGAGGACUCACAGAGAGGCAAUGAUCCUGGUGAACAUGAUAUGAACAUGGAGCAAAUAAGGGGAGGCAAUGAUCCCCACGAAGAUGAUAACAGUAAGCACAAUAUACUCAUUUAGCAGUAACAGUGUCUCAUUUACCAAGUUUUUGAAAAUGAACAGCAAGUCUAGUUUCUGAAGAUGAACAGUAACUCCACUUUCUAGAAAUAAACAGUAAUAGUAACUCAUUUGAUCAUUUGAACAUGUGACCAUUUAAAUAUUUUAUCAAUUUAUCAUUUGAUAAUUUGAGUAGGACUAAUAUUUUUUCAUUGUUGUGUUUCUUGUUGCAGUUCUUGAGCAAGGAGUUAGAAAGAGGAAAACUCUGAGUGACCAACAAAAAUAUGCUGCUUAUGUGGCAUUGCACAUAUUAUGUAUGAGUAGAGGUGGAAAGUUCAAGAUAACGGAUAAGAAAAACCUUGCACAUUUUUUUAAUGUAGAAUUGAGGAGUAUACAAAGAGUUUGGCAGAAGGCGAUGAAGCAAAUUUCAGAAGGUUUCGAGGUGGAUGUUUCCAACCAGAAAAAAGGAAAUGUGGAAGAAAACCAAAGGACAUCAACCUAGAGAAAAUCCCUACAAUACCACUCAAUAGUAGGUCUACUAUCAGAUCAUUAGCCUGGCAACUGGGAUGUAGCCCUACCACUCUCCACAGGAAUUCAAAAUGAAGUUGAUAAAGAGGCAUACAAACUGUGUCAAGCCAGCUCUAAAGGAAAAGAAUAAGAAGGAUAGAAUGAAAUUUUGCUUGUCAAUGCUUGAUGAGGCAACAACAAAAACUGCAAGGCCUAAGUUCAAGACUAUGCAUAAUGUUGUACAUAUUGAUGAGAAGUGGUUUACGAUGACCAAGAAGAAUAAAACUUAUUAUCUGCUGGAUGGGGAGGAAGAGCCUACAAGGCCUAUACAUGGCAACUGUAUUGGCAAGGUUAUGUUCUUGACGGGCGUAGCUAGGCCACGGUGGGAUAGUGAAGGAAAUGUGACCUUCUCUGGAAAAACCGAUGAACUCACGAUAAACUGCGUGCGCUCUUUGUCCCAGUUUCAGUUCCCUUGUUCUUGCUUUUCUAUAUCCCGAUGAACUCACGAAUCCAUGAUCCAUGGUCAAUCCCCAAUAUAUAUACUCAAGCAAUAUACUCUCUCAGCAGUAUAUAAUCAAUCAUACAGGAAAGAGUAUCACUCUCUCAGCAGAAUACAUACUCACGAAUCCAUGGUCAAUAGCAGCAUAUACUCCGUGUGGGGAUUAGUCUAGCUCGUAAGCCACGGGUCCAAAUCAAGCAAUAUAUCUACACUAGAAUCUGUAGCAGAGUACACAUCUGACAAAACCGAGAGAUGUGGAGAGGAAGGGGGUAAGAGACGGAAGGGUACCUGGGUGAGGUCGCUGAGGUGGAAGCAGCCGGUGGAGCGGUCGAGGUCGCCGCUAGGGUGUCGCCGGUGCACUGGAGCUCUGCCAACUCGUCCCCAACUCGACGCCCAGCUCGACGCCCAGUCCGGCGCCCAGCUCGAUGCCCAGGUCGACGCCGUCAUUGCUCGGGCUCGGCUUCAGCGCCUCCUUCACCCUGUCCUUGCUCGCCCAGCUCGUCGGCUUCUUGGUCUCGACGAGGCUCCCGCUGAAGUACUCCACCCCCGCCGCCGCAUAGACGAGCAACCCAACUGAGGGCGCCCGCAGCUCCCGCUGAAGUGAUCUGCUAUGUCCAGCACCACUCCGUCAUCCAUAUCCAACAUCGGCGCCCACACCAGCUCUGUCGAUGCAAAACAAACACAUUUUUGACCUUUGAGUGGGAAAGGAAGGAGAGGAAGCACGCAGUGGGAAAGGAAGGAGACAACACACGCGGUGGGCUGUGGGAGGAAGAACGCGGUGGGCUGUAGGAGGAAGAACGGUGGGCUACGGUGGCCGGCGACGACGUAGAGAGGCGACGAGGGAGGGGAAUGAGAGGGUGUGAGAUCUGGGCAGCGAGUGGAUGAGAAUGGGCAGGUGGGGGCAUUUUCGGAAACUCGGAAAGUUUCGUAGUGUCGCGAGAUUUACACUAGAAUCGCUAAAACGUCUUAUAUUUCGGUACAGAGGGAGUACAUUGGAGCAGACCUGUGCAGAUUCGUACUCCCUUCGUUUUUAUUUAUUCUGUAUAUCAGGUUUAUAUAAUGUCAAACCUAAAUCCUUUUAACAAAUUUGUAGAAAAAUAUAUCAACAUAAUCCCUUCAUUUCACAAUUUAGCGCUCGUUCGUGUGCUUUUCGAGAUCUAAGUUUGACCAUACCUUUAAACAAGAAGACCGAUUGCUAUGGGAGCAAAAAUUGAAUCACUGAAUUUGUAUUGAAAUUAAAUACUGAAUUUGUAUCGAAAAUAUAAAUUCAUUGGUAUAAUUUCUGUUGCCACCGCAGUCGGUCUCGUUGGUGAAAUUUAUGGUCAAACUUAGACCUCAAAAAACGCGAGCGCACUACAUUGUGGAACGGAGGGAGUAUACACCAUCAAAUCAAUAUCAUUGGAUUCAUCAUUUCAUAUAUUUUCACAUCAUAUAAAUUUAUUAUUGUAAAUGUUCAUAUCGUUUUCUACAAAUUUCAUCAUACUUUAGAUAGUUUGACUUCAGACAAAACUAAUAUGAGGAGUAAAUAAAAUCAGAGGGGUACCACUCCUAGUAAUUAAUGUGUAUAUCCACUAGCUGCUGAUUGACAUUCAAAUUCUCCACUUGACGAUGGCCAGAGUAUCUGAUAUUCAAACUCUCCACUUGGCCACCUUAUUUCUUCUCCCCAAAUGAGCUAUGAACUGCUCAUUCAUCCAACAUUAAAAUCACUGUGAUGAAACUCUACUCUUUCAGUUUCAUAAUUAGUGCAUAUAGUUUUUCCCCAAAAAACUAAACUUUGACAAAGAUUAUAAAUAAAAAGUCUAUAUCUAGCACAUUGAAUACAUACCAAUAGAUUCGUCAAAAAUAUUUGCAUAUAUUAUAUGAUGGUAUUGUGGAUAUACAUAGAGUUAUCUAUAAACUUGGUCAGAUUUUACAAUGUUUGACUUUUCUAUAAAACCAAUAUGCACUACACUAGGGGAUGGAGGGAGUAUCGUAUGAAAUAUUAUGUGGAAUUAUUCCGUUUCAGACAAUGUUUGGUAUCAAACACAACAGGUACAAUGUUCUAUAGUUUCUCCAAUGUGCAGAAUUAUUAGUUGAAUUGGCAAUUAUUUACAGGAGGGGAGUGCGCUGGUGUGACCGAAAACUAAGUGGAUCGAUGUAUAACAAGCUUCUUUUGGUCGGCAUCAAGACGGUGUUCCUCAUUGUCCGAAUCGAGGACCGGAGUGCAGUAAAUUUUACCAAUCUAUGAUGCGCUCUGGGUGGAUGAAACUGCUCCAAAAGUUGCCCGAGUUCAACGACUCUGUGGUGACCUACGAAUCCGGCGAGCGGCAGAAGUUGCAAGACGUCAGGUAUGAUAUCGUAGGCAACAAUAGUGACCAGUGGAGUGACAUCCUCGACACACCCAAGGGCACCCGCACCUUUAAGCUUCCCUACCCGAUGUACUAAAUCGGCUAGGUUGAAUGCUAGCUAAUCGUCCACGAAUAAGCUCCAUGUUGUUCACUAUCCAUGCUUUGUGAUUACCUUUUUUCCGGGCAUGCUUCCUCAAUACUAAUCCACUAUUACUGCUAGUUUUCUAAUUUCUAUUGAGAAAUCUAUUGCUGCUUGGUUAAAUUCCAUAGUUGGGACCUUGAGUCAGUUACUAGUAUUAAUAAGGUAUGCUACAAAGAAAUUGCAUCUUGCAUAAUCAAUGAAUCGAUGCUCCAUUUUUCCUUGAUUAUAUAAUAUAUGUAGUUUCUAUUUUACACUUUGAUUUAUUUAUUUUUUACUUUUAAUAUUUCCUUUUUUUUCAUUUUCUAGUUUUAUGUUUUAUUUUUUUAUUUGAUCUCCCUUAUGUAUUUAUUUUCUUAUUUUAUUCUUUAGAAUGCUUUCUAUUUGUAAAAAAUAAUGAAUUUUUCCAUACCCUAAUAGUUAAAAACAAUUCCGGGAUAUUAAAAUUACGAUGAACAAGGUCCUAAUAUACGUCGAGAUUUUCCCAAAUACCUGAUGAAUAGUUUUUAUAUGUUUAAGUACAUUUAUAAUUUUGUAAUUACACCAUCAAAUUUAAAUAUAUUUUAAAUAUUUGUUGAAUGCACAAAAAGCAUUUACUAAAUAAUUCGGAACAUUUGCUAUUACAUUGUGAACAUUUCUAGAAUACACAUUGAACAGUUUCCAAACCAUGAUGACUUUUCUAAAUAUGCAUUAUAAAAUUUUCAGUUACACGAACUAAACUGUUUUACCCUGAAUUAUUAUUAUUUUUAAAUUUGUUUUUUCUUAGAAUUAUAAAUAAAAUUAAAUUGAAGUGUUUCAGAGUAUAAAGGACAGAACGGGUAAAAACAAUGACAGAAAAAAUAAAAAUUGCAUUGGGUCGGGUCAUUGUGGAAUACUAUGGGCGAGCCCAAAGGAGUGUUCAUUACUGGUGAAUUAUAGUAGCAACGUGAGGGAAAGUGUGCUUCUCAGCCCGAGCUCAAAUGAGCUCUGGUGAACAGUAAAAUCCAAAAAUAAUUAAAAAAAUAUGAAAUUGUUUGGUGAAAGAAAUUGAAAAUAGUCGUAACUGCCUCCAAAAUUGUAUUAUGAAAUAACAUUUAUUGAAGCCAUGGAGAAAACAAAAUCGAUACUCCAAAAUGCUUUUGAAAUUAGUAUUUUCAGAGUAUCGAUUUUGUUUUUUUGCCACAUGUCACACAAAUGUGAUUUUCUGAUGAAAUCUUGCAAGAUAUUAGAACUUUUGCCAAUGUUUAUCACAAAAAAAAAUAGAUUUUUCUGGAUUUUUUUAAUUUAGUUUUGAUUUUACUGUUCAUCAAAGCUCAUUUGAGCUCGGGCUGAGAAACUCCACAUCCCAACGUGAGCGCCUAUUUGGUGUCGUGCUCAUUUCUGGUAGCCGACAAACUGAGUGGUUUUGUGCGUGACGUAAAAGACACAAAACAAUCAGGGCACUUCGAAGGAAUCAACGUUGUGUCCUUUCACAGGGAAUGCGUGAUGCUAGUUGCUGGCCACUCGUGCCAACAAUUUUUGCUAAUAGAAACACAACAACAAUGUGCAGGAAAUUACUGCAGCGGUGAAUUCCAAAUAUUUUCUAAAGUACACAAAUAUUUCAUCAAAUCUGAACGUUUUUUGAAAAAUCACAGUAUUUUUAAGAUGCCCAAUAUUUUUUUUAACUUUUCAGAAUAUUUUAAAUUUCAAACUUUUUUUUUAAAUUGCCAAACAUGUUUUGAAUUUGUGGACAAAACUUUUGAACAGAGAAACAGUUUUACAACAUCUGAAACCUUUUUUGGAACGCAAUAAGUUUUUCCAAAUUUCCAAGCAUUUACAGAAAAUGGAACAUAUAUUGACCAUUUCCAAACAUUUUUCAAAAACAUGAAUACUUUUUGAUUUAUGAACAUCAUUUCAAAACAGGAACAUUUUUUGAUAAUUCUGAACUAUGUUAGAAAAUGCGAACAAUUUUUGGACGUUUGUUGAGAACCCAAUCAUUUUUAGAAGAAAAACAAUUAUUAAAGUUUCAGACAUUUUUUUACUUGUGAAGUAAUGACCAAAGAAAACCAUAAAAUGUAAAACAACCGAAAAUAAGGAAAAAAGGAAAGAAAAAGUUGAAAAAAAUAAAAAUAUGAAUAAUAAAAAAUAAUAAAUUCUGGAAAGCAGUGAAAAAUAAAUCACAAAACGGAGACCAGUUUAUACGUCCUGCUGCUAUAUGACAAAGUAAAAAAUCUAAAAAGAAAAUCCCACAACAAAAGCUAUUUGACAUACCGAGCGUCAUAUAGAAAAUUCAAACAACAACCACCACAGAACGCUGAUACAGAUGACGGGCAGGUGGAUGUUUCUCAGAAUCAGAUUUUGAAGAAUCAUGAGGCGAAAAGAACUGGUGCCUGCAAUCGGCCGUGGCAUGUACACAGGUGCUAGUAAUGAUAUAAAUCACGGAUAUUGAUUUUGAAGGUCGAGCUCCAUGGAGGUCUUUGAAUGCAAAAUUCAAAAUUCAUGAAAAUAUUUUUUUUUUAUAUUUCGAAAAAUUCCGUAACAAAUACAGAGAUAGAUGAAGGCAUAAUACACAAGUGUGUAAAUUUUUAGGACCAAAUACGUUGAAAUAAGGCUGUACAAAAAAGGCAAAUCUGAGGUUGUUUAACACAUGAUACUAUUCAUCCUCUCGGAACAUGAUUUUAUAUUUUUAUACAGGUUGCAUUUCAACGUAUUUCAUCCUUGUUUAGUUUUAUAAUUGUUUUCAAAAAAUCUGAGGAUGAGGCAUAUGUCUCACAUCCUUGUUUAGUUGUAUAAUUGUUGUAAGAUUUUUUUUUUAAUUUUGAACUUUUCAAAAAAUCGGCCUCGGCCAAAACGCCUUUCUCUAUAAAUCGUGAUUUGUAUACUGGUAAGAAGAAUGAAGCAAUGCAUAUUCAACUAAACAAACUACAUAUUGUCUUGAAUUCACUCAUUUGGAAUCUAGCUAGAAAGGGUGCUUUUUAGGUGCCCAGAUUUUUUAAUUUUUUUGAGGGAAGUGACGAGGUUCUUGGGAAGAAAAGAUUUAACAGAUUCAUUGGUUUUCACAAAGAGAGCAAAUCAAUAUGAGCGCAGAAGCAAUCGAGUUUUGCCAUUAUUAAGCAACAACAUGACAUACAUGAUACAACUAGAGGUACAUAUAGCUAAAUUAGCGGAAGCCCUUUGUAUUGGUACUGCUCGCCGAGCUCCGCGAGCAGAUCGUUUUCCGCCUUGAGUAUGUCGCCCAUGUUGUCCAGCAGGAGGUACUUGUCCAGCGAGAAGCCCGACUCCGGCGAGAUGAGCGCCGCGACGUUUCUCAGGAACUCCUCGUCUAAUGGGGCAAGGGGCUCCCACUUUUGUCCCGACGUCAGCAGCGGCUUCUGAGGUCGCCGCCUCACGACCUUCAUUUUCUUCUUCUUCAUCGUCAUCCUCCUCUUCUCCCCUCUUGCGGGCGUCGGCGACUUCGCCCCCGCCUCCGUGUUCUCACACGAUGAACUCGCCAUGAUUCUUCUCCCGUCCUUCUUCCGCUGAGAAGAUUGGUCUGCUCUGCUGGUUUCGCAGACUUGCGUGCUCGCCGGCACCGGUAUAAAUACAGCAAAAAUAAGAGAUCGAUGAUUCAUUUCUUGGCUAGGGGAGCAGUUCGUUGUAUCCGACUCGUAUUCAGUCCACGGUUCCGGUUCCUACUCCCGCAUGGUCGACGCAUCGGUUGGGAUCCUAAUUGGGACGGCCCAAUGGUAGGUUAUUUUAUAGUAUUUUUAUGUAUAUUGUCUAUAAGGACGUUACUGCAUCAAAAAGAAAAGUAUAAUGGCUCUGCAUCUAGUCUAGUUGCUGAAGCGUGUGCGUCGAACAGCUUCCCCAUCGCUUAGUGACAGUUCAUGAAAUCGUGUGCGAUGACCAUUUCUAUGGAUUUUUUUUGCAUGAUAAUAUGUGUCUCAUUUAUAUCAUAAUGAAAAUAAUACAAGACCAUUGUUGUGGAUUAUAACAACACAUAUACACAGCCAAAUACAAACCCUACGGUCUUGGUCACAAUAUAGUGGUACAGGUGUCCAUUAGGACAUAUGUCCGUGUGUUGCAACGGAAAAAAAAUUAAUUUGUAUUUGCAAGCACAACACGUCAUGCUCCGCUACGAAAGAACGCUAGUUACCACAUGACCAAAACGACCAUCGAUGCAUCACUACAUCCAGAGAGUGUCACCACCUGCAGGGAGGCGCACGUCAAAGCCUUCAACAAACGCGGGGACUAUGUUACUCCCUUUGUCAGACAUUAUUAGGCUGGUGGACCACUUAGCCUCAGCCGGACAUUAAUCAUGAAGUGAGCCUUAGCGCAGAUGGUAAAGAUAUCUUCAACGUGACGAUGUGGCGUUGUGGCUCCCUGGCCCAGAUCUUCCCACCAAUGAAUAGUAAAAUCGACAAAAAAUAGAAAAAAUGAUUUUUUUUUUUGGAGUGCAAGAUGUUCCUUUGGGUGAUGUCAAAAACUGCUUGGAGCUGAUUUUUAUUUUUUUUUGCCAGACGCUCCUCGAAUGUCCAAAUACCUCGAAAUUUUGCAGACAUUUUAGCAUCUUAUGAGCCAAAAAGGAUUCAGAUUUUUUUGAUAUUGUGCUUUUCACCGGAUGCAGAUGAGCCGGGGACCAUUUUGAUUAUUAUUAUGGCUAAUCUAGUUUAAAUGUGUCAUUGUUCAUGUAGCCCACAAUCAUUUUUUCUUUUAUUGUUUGAACACACCACGUCCUUCAUUUCUUUUAAAGGUUUCCUUGCAUGUCUGCUCGUCGUGCAGUUCAUUCCUUUUAAUUGUCAUUCCUUUUAAUUGUCCGCUUUUAGCAUCCAUUUUUAACUGUCUUGCUGAUAUUCCAAGCAAACCGCAAGGUAUAUAAACCGGUAGGGAUCUAUCUAAAGAGGCAAGGUGGGUUUAUUUAACAUAAAAUAUUGAUGUCGAGUUAUUUUUAAAAAAACAGCCUCAACUUUAUUAAUUAGAGAUAAUUGUUACAUCGUCUAUUAAAAAAGAUACAAUAUUUUCCAAAGGCUCCUCAAUCCACUCACUCGUAUCAGAACUCUUUGCUAAUCUAGCAAGCUCAUGUGCUACUUCGUUCGCUUCUAGUAAAAAAAAUUCAGAAGCCAUAGAAAAACAAUCCUCAAAGGUUGCAGCCGCCGCUCCCGCAUAGUACCCUCCCUUGUUCAUUGUUUCAAUUACUUCCGAGAAUAUUGAUGUAGAGUUGGUUAGUGCAGUUGCCUUACCCUGGACAUGGAGUAUUGAGUUUAAUCUUCCAUAAAUACAUAUUUUUGUACACGUUGUUCGUGGCCCAUGGCAGACGGCCCAAUAUUGUAGCGAAGCCCAGCAGUGCAGCAACCUGACAUGGUACGAUAGAUGGUGAGGUGUAUGCGUGCUAGCAACGUAAGAAAACGGCCAGGGAGAGGCAAUGUAUGUACAAUAUUUUUAACCAUGGAUUCAAGCUCGUAAAAUUUUGAGACUUUUCCAUAAAACUGUAUGACAGACUAAGAAUACAUAUUUUCUUAAUUAGUAGGUAUAGAUGCGGCAAGUGGAUUGUUUCCUGGUUUUGGGAAGUUUCCAUAAGCUUUUCAGACGGUUUUUCAUUUUUUCUAUUUUGGGGUUUUCCUGUACCAAUCUUGUCUAUUUUUUAUUUUCUACUUAUUUUCAUUUUGCUUUAUUGCAUAUUCUUUUACUUUUUUUCAUUUUCCUUUUUCUAUUUAAUUUUGGCAAAACACGAAUUGUUUCAAUUUUAUGAUACUUUUUUUAAUUGAGGAACUCCUUUUCGAACUCGUUUUUUCAAGUUCAUCAUUAUUAUUUUUUAAAAUUAUCACCUUUUUAAAAAAUAUAUGAACUAUUUUUAAUGUUUGUGAACGCUGUCUCAAAAUUGAUGAACUUUUUUCCUAAAUGCUGAAGUUUAUUUUAAAACUGAUGAACUUAUUUUAAUAUUUGAUGAUCUAAUUUUAAAACCGGAGAAUGUUUUUGCAAAAUAGACGAACUGUUUUUCUAGCAUAUGUACCUUUUGAAAAUUCAUGAACUUUUUUUCAAUUUUUGGGCUUUUUUUAAAAGUUGAUGAGCUUUAUUCAAAAUCGUGAAAUAUUUUCCAUCUAUGUGCAACCUCUUUUUUCAAAAUCAUGAACAUUUUCGAAUUGAUGAACUAUUAACAGAGAUUAUACGCAUGACCUUUUUUGAAUUCGCAAACUUUUUGUUGAAAUAUCUGCAUUCUAUUUGAUUUUCUGAUUAUUAUUUUCAAGCUAGCGAGCGUGCUCGUGGGCUCACCCAUGCUAGCAAUGGUGCGAGCUGGCACUGGCGCAAAACGCGUCAAUUAGGAAGAGCAACUAAUUAAGGAGUACUCGUCCGAGAGCCUCUCGAAGGGUCCAUUGCCACGUGUCGUACUCUUGGUGUUUCCUUUGGAUUUUUUUCUAUACAUAUUUAUGUCUGGAAUUUUGGCUUUAAGAUGAUUUUGUUUUCCGGGUUUUUUUGGCUUUUCCGUUUACCCCCGAUUUUUCUUACAAUUUAGACCCAAAAAUAAGAUUUUAAAGAAAAAUCACAAAAAAAUGCAUUUUCUCUUUCUUUUUUCCUACCCUGAGAGACAUGGAUUUGCUUCUCUUAGAGGCACAUGUGCCUCCUGAAAAAGCAAAAAAAAUGUUUUUUCCUUCCGCGAGGCAAGGUCGUGCCUCUCAGAAAAGAAAAAAGAUCCAUUUUUCCUUUCACGGAAGUACGGAUUUGCUUCCCUGAAAGGCCUAGUCGUGCAUCUUGAAAAAGGAAAAAUGCAUGUUCUCAUGAAGGAAAACAACGUGGUUUUAGUUUGGUUUUUUUGUUUGAUUUUUUCGUGAAAAAAAGUCCAACGAAACAUAUCAACAUGUGGUCUAGUUUUUAAGAUCUCGACGCAUGGAAUCUAACGGCAAAACCAGUUCUAGAUUUGGACGUAGGUUUUGAGAGAUAAAAUGUUUUGAAUAAACAAAUCUGCGAAAAAGGAAAAACCCUUAGGUUGCUACAAGUGACGCACAUGCAGUUGAAGACUUGUCGCACCCUGGGUUGGGGGAGUGAUCUUUGCCAAGAGUAGUUUUCAAUUAGUGAUUUCGCUAAUUAGAAGCUCGCAUCAUCUCCGAUGCGAGCACUAGUGGAUCAGCCCAUGUGCGCUCAUAUGGGUUUUUUGGAGCGGCUUUUGGAAGCUUCUAUGGAGCUGUUUAGACAAAUUUGAAAACCUUUCAUUCAUUUUUUAUGUGUUCACUAUAUAGAUUUACAUGGACUAAAGUAAAAUGUAGAUUUACAUUAUUUUUUCCCUUAGUUUUCUUUGUGUGUUUUUAUUCAUUUUUUGAAUACACAUGGAAUUUUUGGAAAUACAGUUCGAAUAUUUUUUGUUUACAUGUUAUUUCUUUUAUACACGUUGAUGAUUUUUGUAGACACAUUUAAGUGUUUUCCAAAAUAAACAGUAUUGAUUUGUCAAAUGAACAUUGGAUUUCUUAUGAAUAUAAGGUGAACAUUUAUGAAACACCCAUUGAACAUUUAGAAAAAUUCCAUGAACAUUUUUUUCUUAAAGCAUGCAAAACAGUUCUUAAUGUUAGAACAUAUUUUUUAAUGUCAAAGACAUUUUUGUUGAAUGGUACAAAAUAUUAUUUAAAAUUACAAGACCAUUUUUACAUACUAGAAACAGUUGUGGAAAAUGUUAUGACCAUAUUUUUGAAACGGCUGAAUAUUGUUUAAAUUUCAUAAAUAUAUUUAGAAUGGUAUGUCAAAAGUUUAAAAAUAUGUGAAUAUUGUUUCUACAUUGUAUAAAAAAUUUAAAAACUGUCAUGAACAUAUUUCUGAACACAUGAACUAAAUGUCAGGAACAUUUUUCGAAUGGUACAAACAUUUUUAAAAUUGUGGAGACAAUUUAUUACACUACAUGAACAUUUAUUUGAAACACGCAAUGAACAAGGGGUAAGGGACACGUGUCAUGUGCUUUGCUAGCGCAUCGUGGUUGCUGAGUGUCUCAUUCCUUUGUUGUUGAGUUUUGUUUUAGUGCGGAGUGUUUUUACAGUAUACUCGAGAAAGAUCCUACGUUACGAAGGAUGUGUUUGGUAGGCGUUUCUAGCGGGACUGGCUCGUGGACAUUGGCUCAACAAAGUUUGGUUGAGAUAAAACGAUCAUAAAACUAACAUCUGCAUUUAGUUUGGUUGCCGGCAUACAUUCUAAACUGAAUGGGGUGUCAUGAAAGACAUACUAUUUGGUUGUCUGUUUGUGUAUGCGCAAACACAAGGCCUACUAUUUGGCUGCAUGCAACACUUGUUGUGAGAUAACCUCUUCGAUGCGGUGGUGAGGUUACCAUCACAUAGCGGCGUCAGGAAGAACACACAACAUAACAUAGUAGUAAGCAGUUAUAAAUAUUGUGUCACAUUUAAAUAGAUUAGUUUAAAUGCAAAGCAGUUCAAUAUUAAACUAAAGCAACUAGAGCAUAUGAGCGGUUGUCCUAGACGUUCACAACGAAGGCAUCGUCAUGUCUCCCGCACCAGGCCACCACUUUACUGCCAUCGUCAUUGAAGACGAUGACCUUCACCAUGUCGGGAGUCAUCAACUGUGACCAUGAAGCCUAUCUUGAUUUGUUGGACGGCGACGAAGGUGGCCCAAACCUGGUCGAGGGUGACCCUUUCGUUCAACAGACGGACAAUGACCCUCCUAGAGCACUCGGUGUUCGCCUUCAAAUUGAACUCCUGUGGCAUAGACGGGAAGUGCUUCAUGAAGUCGAGUGGCAUAGGUAUGGCCUCGAGUGGCAUGAUUACCUUGCAGAAGUUAUUUGGCUCACCCAUCUCAUGGUAGUGGUCGUAGUUCUGACGCUUGUCGCUGGGGGGCUCCUCCGCGUAUCGUUGUCCGUGACCGGGCUCUGGACAGGCGCCACCUUUGAGGGCGGCACAACAUCCUUGCACUUGUAUUGCUCCUUUGGUGGCACCACCUCAUUGCCCUUGUUCUCCGUGUCGAUUUGCAGUGUGAAGAGGUUCAAACGAUUGGGUCAGGAUUUGCAAUAUGAACAUUGCAUCAUUGUCAUUAACUUAUUGUCGAGAACCCCAUUAUUUACCUAGGCUGAUGGUUACCACUUACCCACCACCUAGUUGUUUGUCUCUCUUCCUCCAACCCAAUGCCAUGAACUCUAAGAACAAGUCUAACCCCAUCCGCAACCCCUUUCCUUGGGGCAUUGGAUGGAGGGCCUUCUUCCUAGGGUGCUCGCUCGAUGACCGCACCAAGUUUGAGAACACCAUGAAAGUGUGUUCAAACUUCAACAGCUUGGAGGAGCAGUACAAAGAGUAGGACGCUAUGGUGAAGAAGGCGAGUCGGAGGAGUUGAAGACGCUGAUCAGUGACCCAAUGAAGGGUUCUAUGUGAGCCGACAUACUUCAUUGAGCCAUGAAUCAAGCCGUCCCCGGCGACGCUGGACAGAGGGAAAACUGAGCCAAGUACAGACAGCAUCGGUGUUCUUAUGACCACGGGGCCGCAACGUACUUCACCACAAAGAUUAUGGUGGUGCCGGUGGAGGAGCAUCAAGAAGUGCUGGCUAUGGAGGUGGAAGAGGAAGAUGCAGUGGCGACGAUUGUGAGGGCGCUGGAGCUAGGACACCUAAGCAUGCCAAUCAAGUUGGACUCCGGCGAGGAAGAAGAUAUGGUGGUGUAGGUCGAGGAGAAGACCAAGGCCAAGGCUACCCACCGCUCCAAUCGCCUCCAGGGUCCUGUGUACUAUGUAAGAUGAACCCUAAUCCCCAUUCCGAUUGUACUCAAUCCUGAUUGGGAACCUCAUAUCUACCCGUAGUCAUGACGAUGUUAUGACCACUCCUAUGGUGUUUACCCCGAUUCCCCAUUCUCCUAACAUGGAUCGAACCUAAACUCGGAUCAAAUGCAAAGUAGUACAUGAGGAGGGGGGAAAGUGCUUACCGCCAUUGCCGAAGUGCUGCUGUGGAUGCCGGUGAAGAGGCCGGAGUCGAUUUGCUGUUCCUCGAUCUGAUGCACGCCAUCGCCGCCGUCGGUGAGAGUAGGGAGAGUGGAAAGAGAGCGGUGAGAAAAGGUAAGGGUAAUGACUGUCGACGCUUCGGGAAACAACGCGGCUUCUCAAGGGUGGCUCCCCUUGUGCAACCCCUGCCGCCCACGUGCAUCGCAGAGGCCUGGCUCGCGAGAAACUACCAAUUCGAACGUGCCUCGCGAGACAUACCCAGACAUGCUUUAAAGUUCGUGACAUGCAGGCCCAACAAUGUAUGUUGACAACCAAUCAGUUUGUUUUCUUUCCACGGGCCUGGUUGGACCUUAUGCGGGCAACCAAACGCAUCCCCAAGUGUUGUUUAUUUGUCGGAAUUUUCUAAGGUACUGGGCAAACGACAUGUGUACUGAGUGCCCAUGAAAUUACACCAGGCAAACUGUAAAAUACUCAGCGUAAUUUUUUUCCUGUAGUUGUACAAUUGGCUGCGCUGCAGUUCCAAAUUUGAUAAAGUUACAAGGUUGGUGUACCAGAAAUUCAUUAUCUACCAAUCAUCAAUAUGUAUGCACAAAACAGUUGCCUGUCUGGGCCUUUGUAUCAACGUCCAUCCAUGUGUAACACGUUCAGCGGAACCGUCUACCAAACGUCUGACAGACACAGACACGUGCAUAUCCUCCAAACCGGGCAGGCUGGUUGCUUGCGCCCUCGUCGCUUUCUUGUCGAACUGGCUCCAUAUAUAGACUAAUGCACACCACAGUUCAAUUUCCAUUUUCGUUUCAGUCAUCGUACAUAUGACUGCAUUAUUCAGCUAACGUUUAAGCAUAGGGAUUUUUAUUUUCAUGUCCCGUCUUUCUUAGUUAUGAUUAGUUUUGCCCCGUUCAUUUAACAUUGCUCACUUUUUUCCCUUCUUUACUCAUCUACGCCUCGUAAAAGAUCAAACGGUGUGUUGACAUUGGGUUAGACCAGGGGCGGUCCUCAGAUUUUGGGGGCCCGGGGCUGGAUUAAAAGCCGGGGCCCUUAAUAUAGACAUAAUAACAAUAACACUGAAUAUACGUACCGGUGAAAUAUAAACACUUAAAUACGUCUAAUACUAAUAUGCAUAUCAAAUGUUUUAAAAAUAUUACCUCAAACAAUAAUUCUGACAUACCUUGAUGCAAAGGCCAUUAUGAUGGCGUCGAUGUUAAUAGCGUCCAAUAAUUUCUUCUCGAUGACAUAAUGUCACCAGACCAUAUAAACACUCUUGGUUCAUCGGUGACCUCACAUAGUUCUUCAAUCAAUAUUUCCAACUUCAGAGAGCUUCUUCCGACCAAUACGAUAGUCACAGGCAUAGUAAAUAGGAUGCAAUAAGCAAUGGAAAUAUCAGGAUAACAGCCAACUUCUAUUGACAUGCUGCAAAUCUCCAUUGCAGAUAUUACAGUCAUAUGGCAGAAUGAAUCCCACAAUUUUUAAUUUAGAAGUAAGAUCAUACUCCCUCCGUUCCUAAAUAUAAGACCUUUUAAAGAUUGCACUAUAAACUAUAUAGGAUGUACAUAGACAUAUUUUAGAAUAUAGAUUCACUCAUUUUGCUCCGUAUGUAGUCUCCUAGUUGAAUCCCUAAAAGGUCUUAUAUUUUAAAACGGAGGGAGUAUAUCUCAACAUCAUGAUACACAAUGCUGACAAAUAACAUUAAUUGUUGAACAAUAUCGAUGUACCGGCGAUGCAUCUACAGAAGCACAAUAAGAAUAUAUGAUAUACGUACCUCGGAUGGCUGAAUCAGCCAUGACGGAAAAUCAAAGCCGGAUUAUAGGACGCCCCGACGAAUUGAAAUCGACGGCGCGCAGCUGAUGAUCUAAAUUAGGAAAGAAAUUAGGUUUGGGAGAAAAGUAGAAAGGAGGGUCGAGCACGCAGUGGCGAACAGACGAUGCGUCGGCGGCCGCUAGGAAUCGCUGCGUCAAUGCGAGAUGGAAUAGGAAGGGAUCAAUCACUCCUAUUUUUUCGUGAAAAAACGGAAGGAACGGUUGCUGCCUUUGUGCCUCGCUGGACUGCUGGGUGCAUGUUUGCCUGCAUGCUACGUGAGGCCCAGUCAACCAACCCGAUAGGUCAUUUUUUUCUGAUCUGUAAAAACAUUAAAUAUGUUUGGACAAAGCCUAUGUACAUACGUGGGGAGGGCCCCCUAAACUUUGGGGGCCGGGGCGGCCGCCCCCCCCUGCCCCUCCCCUCGGCCGGCCCUGCGGUUAGACUACCAACAAUGAAAGUAACAUAGGUGGUAACAUAGAUAUCAUCUAAACAACAAAUGUGAUGUGGCAACUAAUUAAAGAAAAGUAAGAGAAAUUGAAUAACUUAGCAUGUUACUCAUAUUAGGAGUAACAUAGCGGAUACCAAGGCAAGAUGGGUGUAUAGGCUAAUAAAUAAAAGACUCAAUGUUACUACCCCUAUGUUACUAUCCACUAUGGAGGUAGUAACUUAGAUUAGUAACAUAUGUAUGUUACUCCCCAUUGGUCUUUCAGCGGCGUUCAGAGACUCCUUCAUAUUAUUAGACAUAAUUAUGUCUAGAGACACAACACACGAGGCUAUACGUAAAUCACCCUUAGAAUACCAGCGAGCUCUCGUUUAACCUACGGACCCGAUGGGCCAUGUUAAGACUGGUAUGAAUACCAGCAAGCUCGCUGACAAGGAUCCGACGACUCCAUUACCCCUCGCAUCGCUUAGAGAAAAAACCCGAUACAAGUCACCCCCUUGACUUGAUCUGGAAUUAUCUGCGAGAUGCCAUCUAUGCUCUCAUCUAUCAACAAUUUCAACACAUGUUCUGCCGGAGUUUUGGUGCUUGGAAACCAUGAGCAAACCGCUUGUCACUUCUCCCGUGAGAGAGCGUCACCGGCACAGAACACCUCCAAUGGUUUCGUGAUUGCCGAUGGCGGCUGCAGGAUUGGGGGAGGUAGGCUGCUCGGGCUGCGGGGGAUGCGAAUUGAGAGAGAGAGAGAGAGAGAGAGGGAGGGAGAGGGAGAGGAAGAGAGAGAGAGAGAGAUUUCGUCCCCCUUUUUAGGACAAAUGACCCAACCAUCCACUAGCCGGUCCCACAUGUCAGCAUUUCAUGUCAGUCCCAUGCGUCCACGCGUCAACACCGGACGAAGUAACGGUCAACAGUUUUGACCCGACGGUGAGGCAUUGUUUGGCCUUUUGCGAGACGGAGGCGAGUAGAGGAGGGAGAAAAGUGAGUAAUGUUAGACGGACGAGGCAAACUGAGCACAACUAAGUAACGAUGGACGAGGCAACUUACGUAAAACCAGCUACAAUUAUAAUAGCUUUCGAUGUACACCCGUGUGAUCACCAGCCAUCUAACAACCUUUGCCGACAGUUGUCCUUCAUCCACAAAGACAACAUCAUCCAAAUAAUUCACUUGCAAUCCAGGUUUCUCUAUCAUCUCUUUGGACAUUGUGAUAUUUACUAAUUCCCGAUCCAGAGGUCUCAUACGCCAUGGCGAUGUCAUGACCAGUCUAGGAGAAGAAGCACCUCGUAAACUAGAGCGGAACAGAACCUGGGUUUUCUAGGCAUGGCCUCUCGAUAAGAAGUUGAGAAGAUUAUGGCUGAUACAUGGUGAGAUAGGAUGAGGUGUCUACGCUGCCAUACGACAAAACCCUAGUAACAGGGGAUGCUUUAUCUGUGUUAUUUUUUAAUUAAAUCACAUGAAUAAUUGGCCGUGUGUAUGUAAUUCUAUAUUAAUAUAAUAGGACACAAAGAGGCAGGUCCAUAUCAUCUCGGCCAACAAAUCUAAGAUUUGAUGGUUCAUGUUGAGCACCAAGAGACGAAAACCGCUCGCGUCGCCUCCAGGGGGCGACACGGGCGCCCUAGCCGCCGUCGCCCUCGACCUCCCUCCUCCCCCGCUUCCCCGCCGUUGCCGGAGGAGGCCGGCGAGCGAAGCUCGCCCGGCGGACGACGGACGGCGGGCCUUCCUCCCUUCUUCACGAGGGGGUCCUUUGGCUGAGAUGCGACGGCGCCCCUGGGGGUACAACAUGGAGGCGGAGUUGGCGUGCUCGGGCGGCGUGGGAUCCCGGCGGCGCUGCGGGGGCUGGCGGCGGCGGAUCUGGGGUUCCCCACCCCAGAUCGGUUCUCCUCCGGGUGGUCGGGCUCAGGCGCCGUCCAGCGGCCCUAAGCGGUGGUGGACGCGCGCGUUGACUGUCCUCCUUCACAGAUGUGAUUGGAAACGACAGGAGGUGUUGGCGUGCUGCUAGAUCUGAACAAGGUGAUGGCGUCAUCCCCUUCAUCAGGGAUGACGACCAGGUGGUGGGUUCUUGUGGCGUCGCCGGUGGCGGCGGAUCUUGGGAUCCAGUUCCCGGGGACGUCGUGGGAUGUGGUGGCCCGUGCAGGAGAGAUGGGUUCUUCGAACAGAUCUGGGUCAAAGCUUGCUUUCGGCUAUUGCUAAGGUCGGCGAUGGCGGCGCUGUCUACAUCGUUCCCUUCCUGAAGGCAUCGCCGAGGAGAACUUCAGGGCCACUCUCUGCUACCUCCUGGGGUAACCCUAGAUCAGUAGAUCGGAUGACGGCGACGCUCUGGUGUCAUUUCCCCCUUGGGGGCGUCAUUCAUGGUGGUACACACGGGCUCGAGGGACCAUUGGUCGGCAUUUACGAUGGAGCAGCGUUCCUAGUGACACAUCGACGUUGUGGAGUCUCGGCGGCGAGGCGCGGCAAAGUCUCGGCAAUGAAUGCAUGAUGAUGAGCACGCGUAGGGAGGAGGCGUUGUCUGGCGCCGUGGGGGCAUCGAUGGCAGGCCUUGCAAGGUCGAUGCGUCAGUAAUUUUUCUGAAGAUGGAUUGAUGGAAGGCGGCGACGACGACCUAUGAGGGUGCGUCGGACCGUUUGUGCCCCUGACCCGGUAUGUGGCUCUGUCGGGGCCUCCGGCUUUAGAUGUUAGGCUAGGUGAGAGGUCUGGGUAUGUGGCUCACACUUUCUGCACCCCCUUCAUCAUUGUAUAUGAGUAGCGACAGAUGUUGCCAAGAGGACGGCUUCAGACAUACGCUUAACACUCUAGCUAAUUGACCACCAGUAGCACGGGAGAGGUGUUUUGGCUCCCGGGUAUAUGCACUCGGAUGAACAGUACUGCGAAAAAAGUUCUAAUUUUUUUUGUAGAUGAUUGUAUUAGUGUCGCAAAUAUGCAUGACAAUUUUCGUGCGAUAAGGAGCAACGGUGUUUCAUCAGCAAAAAAGACAAAUUUAGGAUGACAUUUUGGGGUAACUUUUGGUGUUCAAUUUGUUUUUCUUGCACAAACCAAAAUGUUUUAUCUUUUUGUCUCAAAAUUUACAAGUAGUAUUUGGAUGUGACAAAGCAUACAAACAAAUUUUGUCUCAUUUUUUUCCAUUUCAAACUUUUUUUUGGCCCCGAAAGCAUAUGCCGGGAGCCGAAUUGCAUUUCCGCCGGUAGCACUAGUUACAUACACACUAGACUCCGCGCAAUCCCAUGAAAUCUGUUUGGCGAUUAACAUACGGCUAAAUAUCAACAUGCAAAUAUUAUCUUACCAAAUGUACCAAAUGUGUAACUAGUAUCUUAAUUCUACUCCCUUCAUAAACUAAUAUAAAAACAUUUAAAAACAAUGCUUUAGUAAUCUAAACGCUUUUAUUUAAUUUACAAAAGGAGUGCUACCUAAUAUCAACAUGCAUUGCACCAACUCCCUUCAAGGUCUAAUGCGUUUUUAGGGUUGCCCUUGACUAUUGAUAAGAUUAAUAAUAUAUGAGAUCUAUGAUAAAGAGUCUUUUCACAUCCGAAUUUGACAAUAUACCUGUAACAUGCAAGUUAUAUAUAUAUAAUUGCUCUAACCCGUGGCCAAAGGAAAUCUUGCAAAAUGUAUCGGAUGAAGGGAGAACAUGAUAAUACCAGUCUAACAAAUAUAUCCUCUCCAAUCGCAAACAUUUAUCCCCUUGGAUCACAACCAUGCAUACCCCUUUUGAGUACUCCCUCCGUCCCAAAAUUAAUGUCGAGCAUGUAGUUCAUUGGGAAUUUUGCAAAAAAAAACCUCGUAUUUACAAAAUCGUCUCAAACAAGCACCUCCACCCCUAUCUUCUUCGUCCGUCCUCGCCCGUGCAUCGCGAGAGGCCGCGCCGUCGAACUGGAAGGGCUCCGCCGCCGUCGCCGCCAAUUACCUCCUCCAUCACCACAACCCAGAUCUGCGCCACCGGAUCUCUUCCCGCUGCAGUUACCUGUCGGCGUCGUUCUCGAGCUCCUGCCGGCGUCGGAACCUUCCGCCACUUCGUCCUCUGGCUCCCAUGCGUCAUCCUCGAGCUCCCGUGCAUCCUCCCCAAGCUCACGCGCAUCCUCGCUGGAAUCUCUACUGCUCCUUCUCCCUUGCAGCCGGUGUGCCUGCUUAUCCCCUGUCACCGGAGGAGCUCCUCUGCACGUACUUGUUGGAAUUAUGCCCUANNNNNNNNNNNNNNNNNNNNNNNNNNNNNNNNNNNNNNNNNNNNNNNNNNNNNNNNNNNNNNNNNNNNNNNNNNNNNNNNNNNNNNNNNNNNNNNNNNNNNNNNNNNNNNNNNNNNNNNNNNNNNNNNNNNNNNNNNNNNNNNNNNNNNNNNNNNNNNNNNNNNNNNNNNNNNNNNNNNNNNNNNNNNNNNNNNNNNNNNNNNNNNNNNNNNNNNNNNNNNNNNNNNNNNNNNNNNNNNNNNNNNNNNNNNNNNNNNNNNNNNNNNNNNNNNNNNNNNNNNNNNNNNNNNNNNNNNNNNNNNNNNNNNNNNNNNNNNNNNNNNNNNNNNNNNNNNNNNNNNNNNNNNNNNNNNNNNNNNNNNNNNNNNNNNNNNNNNNNNNNNNNNNNNNNNNNNNNNNNNNNNNNNNNNNNNNNNNNNNNNNNNNNNNNNNNNNNNNNNNNNNNNNNNNNNNNNNNNNNNNNNNNNNNNNNNNNNNNNNNNNNNNNNNNNNNNNNNNNNNNNNNNNNNNNNNNNNNNNNNNNNNNNNNNNNNNNNNNNNNNNNNNNNNNNNNNNNNNNNNNNNNNNNNNNNNNNNNNNNNNNNNNNNNNNNNNNNNNNNNNNNNNNNNNNNNNNNNNNNNNNNNNNNNNNNNNNNNNNNNNNNNNNNNNNNNNNNNNNNNNNNNNNNNNNNNNNNNNNNNNNNNNNNNNNNNNNNNNNNNNNNNNNNNNNNNNNNNNNNNNNNNNNNNNNNNNNNNNNNNNNNNNNNNNNNNNNNNNNNNNNNNNNNNNNNNNNNNNNNNNNNNNNNNNNNNNNNNNNNNNNNNNNNNNNNNNNNNNNNNNNNNNNNNNNNNNNNNNNNNNNNNNNNNNNNNNNNNNNNNNNNNNNNNNNNNNNNNNNNNNNNNNNNNNNNNNNNNNNNNNNNNNNNNNNNNNNNNNNNNNNNNNNNNNNNNNNNNNNNNNNNNNNNNNNNNNNNNNNNNNNNNNNNNNNNNNNNNNNNNNNNNNNNNNNNNNNNNNNNNNNNNNNNNNNNNNNNNNNNNNNNNNNNNNNNNNNNNNNNNNNNNNNNNNNNNNNNNNNNNNNNNNNNNNNNNNNNNNNNNNNNNNNNNNNNNNNNNNNNNNNNNNNNNNNNNNNNNNNNNNNNNNNNNNNNNNNNNNNNNNNNNNNNNNNNNNNNNNNNNNNNNNNNNNNNNNNNNNNNNNNNNNNNNNNNNNNNNNNNNNNNNNNNNNNNNNNNNNNNNNNNNNNNNNNNNNNNUGUUGGAAUUAUGCCCUAGAGGCAAUAAUAAAUGUGGUUAUUAUUAUAAUUCCUGUAUCAAGAUAAUAGUUUAUUAUCCAUGCUAUAAUUGUAUUGAAUGAAGACUCAUUUACAUGUGUGGAUACAUAGACAAAACACCGUCCCUAGCAUGCCUCUAGUUGGCUAGCCAGUUGGUCAAUGAUAGUCAGUGUCUUCUGAUUAUGAACAAGGUGUUGUUGCUUGAUAACUGGAUCACGUCAUUGGGAGAAUCACGUGAUGGACUAGACCCAAACUAAUAGACGUAGCAUGUUGAUCGUGUCAUUUUGUUGCUACUAUUUUCUGCGUGUCAAGUAUUUAUUCCUAUGACCAUGAGAUCAUAUAACUCACUGACACCGGAGGAAUGCUUUGUGUGUAUCAAACGUCGCAACGUAACUGGGUGACUAUAAAGAUGCUCUACAGGUAUCUCCGAAGGUGUUAGUUGAGUUAGUAUGGAUCAAGACUGGGAUUUGUCACUCCGUGUGACGGAGAGGUAUCUCGGGGCCCACUCGGUAAUACAACAUCACACACAAGCCUUGCAAGCAAUGUAACUUAGUGUAAGUUGCGGGAUCUUGUAUUACGGAACGAGUAAAGAGACUUGCCGGUAAACGAGAUUGAAAUAGGUAUGCGGAUGCUGACGAUCGAAUCUCGGGCAAGUAACAUACCGAAGGACAAAGGGAAUGACAUACGGGAUUAUACGAAUCCUUGGCACUGAGGUUCAAACGAUAAGAUCUUCGUAGAAUAUGUAGGAUCCAAUAUGGGCAUCCAGGUCCCGCUAUUGGAUAUUGACCGAGGAGUCUCUCACGUCAUGUCUACAUAGUUCUCGAACCCGCAGGGUCUGCACACUUAAGGUUCGACGUUGUUUUAUGCAUAUUUGAGUUAUAUGGUUGGUUACCGAAUGUUGUUCGGAGUCUCGGAUGAGAUCACGGACGUCACGAGGGUUUCCGGAAUGGUCCGGAAACGAAGAUUGAUAUAUAGGAUGACCUCAUUUGAUUACCGGAAGGUUUUCGGAGUUACUGGGAAUGUACCGGGAAUGACGAAUGGGUUCCGGGAGUUCACCGGGGGGGGCAACCCACCCCGGGGAAGCCCAUAGGCGUUGGGGGAGGCACACCAGCCCUUAGUGGGCUGGUGGGACAGCCCACAAGUGCUCUAUGCGCCAAGAGAAGAAAAAUCAAGAGGAAAAGGGAAAAAAAAGGAGGAGGUGGGAAAGGAGGAGGACUCCCUCCCACCAAACCUAGUCCAACUCGGUUUGGGGGGGGGAGAGUCCUCCCCCUUGGCUCGGCCGACCCCCUUGAGGGUCCUUGGACCCCAAGGCAAGGCCCCCUCCCUCCCACCUAUAUAUACGGAGGUUUUAGGGCUGAUUUGAGACGACUUUUCCACGGCAGCCCGACCACAUACCUCCACGGUUUUUCCUCUAGAUCGCGUUUCUGCGGAGCUCGGGCGGAGCCCUACUGAGACAAGGUCAUCAUCAACCUCCGGAGCACCGUCACGCUGCCGGAGAACUCUUCUACCUCUCUGUCUCUCUUGCUGGAUCAAGAAGGCCGAGAUCAUCGUCGAGAUGUACGUGUGCUGAACGCGGAGGUGCCGUCCGUUCGGUACUAGAUCGUGGGACUGAUCGCGGGAUUGUUCGCGGGGCGGAUAGAGGGACGUGAGGACGUUCCAAUACAUCAACCGCGUUCUCUAACGCUUCUGUUGUACGGUCUACAAGGGUACGUAGAUCACUCAUCCCCUCUCGUAGAUGGACAUCACCAUGAUAGGUCUUCGUGCGCGUAGGAAAAUUUUUGUUUCCCAUGCGACGUUCCCCAUCAGUACUGCUGCUGGUCAUCUGCCUGAGUUGUUGCUGCUCCUCUGCUGGAGUUGAUGCUCCUCUGCUCGAUCUACUCUGCCGCUGGUGAAGCUCUGCCCGUGGUACUGCUAUUCCUCUGCCCAUUUGCACCUGAAGAAGGUACUGAUGAAACUGUUUGUUGUUUACUGCUACCUAAAACUGCUGUUGUUUGAGAAACUGCAUUGCUUGAGAAACUUGUAAUGUUGUGGUAUCGAAAAUAAUUUUGUGCAAUACUUGUAAUGUUGUGGUAUCAAAAAUAAUUUUGUGGAGUAUCAGAAACAGAGAAGCCUGGUUCAAGGUUUUGCACUGGAAACAGAGCAGUCUGGUUCAAGGUUGUGCACUGGAAACAGAGCAAUCUGGUUCAAGGUUUUGCCUAGAUAAACCAGACCGGAUGAGAGACCAAAUACAUGGGCAAGUAGUCAAAAGAAACACAUAAUUUGCCUAGAAUCUUGUUGUCCUGUGAUGCAAGAAAAUUUCACCAUGUGUAUGUUGUGGAACGCUUACAGUUGCACAAAUCAGACAUAUCAGUAGGUUGGUUCAGGUGUUGGUUCUUGGCCUAUUAACAUAGAAAGCCCCUUUGUAACUACUAGGACAAUCAGCUUGUGUAAAGAUCAUAUUUAGAGACGAAUUGCAAGCAUUAACCUGAUCUUAACAUAUAUAAAUGGAUAUUAAGUUUUCCAUUUUAGGCGAAUACAGAUAGAGGUUUCAACUAGACCUAGUGAGAAAUGGUUCCAUGGUAGCAUUUCUUGUUUGGCUGUCGUAGCUCGAUUACAUAUUGUUUUUACGUGCGUAUAUAUUCUUGUUACAGUACCAUGGUGUACUCAUCUUUUGUCAUUGAUAGCAGGAGUAUGGAUUUGAACAUGAUACCUCAAGAGGAGGAUGAAGGUAUUAAUUUGAAUUGGAUCCCUCAAGAGGAAGAGGCUCAAGGGGGAGAGGAUGGAGGUAUGGAUUUGAACAUGAUGCCUCAAGAGGAAAAGGAUGAUGGUAUUAAUUUGAAUUGGAUCCCUCAAGACGAAGAGGAUCCAGGGGGAGAGGAUGGAGGUAUGGAUUUGAACAUGAUGCCUCAAGAGGAAGAGGAUGAAGGUAUUAAUUUGAAUUGGAUCCCUCAAGAGGAAGAGGCUCAAGAGGAAGAGGAUGAAGUUAUGAAUUGGAUACUUCAAGAAGAAGAAGAAGGUCAAGAAGGUGUACCAGGUAAACAGAAAAGAAAAGAAUUGUCAAAUAAGGAGAGGCAUGCUGUUUACUUUGCUCUGCUAGUAAUCGAGCUCAGAGAUGGAUCUGUUCAACCAAACGACAAGCUGCUAGUAUCAAUCUUGUUGAACAUACAUGUACGAUCUAUUGAGAGAAUCUGGUCGGAGCCAAAAAGCAGAUUGCCGCGGGCCAAGAAGUAGAUGUCUCCAACAAGAAGAAAGGAAGAGUUGGUCGAAAGAGAAAAGAGCUGGAUCUUGCAAGGACCUCAACAAUCCCAUUGAAUAGAAGAAGGACAAUUCGAUCUCUGGCACGGUCUCUCGGUGUGACCCGCUCAACCCUACAUCGGAGGUUCCAGUUAAAUGAGCUCAACCGCAUCACAAACACAGUCAAGACUUACCUCAAACCAGAGAACAAGAUUGCAAGAUUGAAGUUUUGUAUGUCCAUGCUCGAUGACAAUUGGAUCUCAACUUCCCAAGCUAUAUUCAAGCCAAUGACUAAUAUGGUCCAUAUAGAUGAAAAGUGGUUUGACAUGACAAGACUAAAGAACAACUACUAUGUACUUCCAGGAGAGCCUCCACCUGAGCGCACCGUGACAAACAUUAACAUCAUUGGGAAGGUAAUGUUUCUAACGGUUGUGGCCAGAUCUCGAUACAAUUAUGAUGGAGAGCUAACAUUUGACGGGAAGAUUGGUAUUUGGGCAUUCAUCAAAGAGUCUGAGGCAGUGCGAACGAGUCACAAUAGAGCAAGGGGAACGACAGUGCUGAAACCAGUGAAAGUAACGAGACCUGUGUGUAGAGAAUAUCUGAUCAAUAAGGUUAUACCAGCAAUUCAAGAUAAAUGGCCUGACGAUGAUGAGGGAGCAACAAUAUUCAUCCAACAAGAUAAUGCAAAGCCUCGCGUUCUUCCCAACGAUGAAGCUUUUCGAGAAGCUGUGGAAGAAACUGAUCUCGACAUUAAGUUGAUGCAACAACCUCCAAACAGCCCAGAUUUGAACUGUUUGGACCUCUGCUUCCACAAUUCUCUCCAGUCUCUAACCGAUUGUAGGUCACCUACAAACAUCCAGGAACUGAUACAGGGUGUGGAAGAGGAGUUUGAGAAUUAUGAUCCUCACAAGUUGUACAACAGCUUCAUCACAUUGCAAGCAGUUAUGUUUGAAAUUAUGAAAGAUCAAGGAGGAAACCAAUAUAAGUUGCCCCACUUACACAAGGAACGUCUUCAGAAUGACGGCAGAGAAAUAACAAGUGUAUAUUGUGACAGUCAGCUAGUUGCUGAUACUAGGGCCAUUCUAGAAGAAAUGCAAUAGGAAAAGGAAAGGAAGAAAAGAAGUAGUUGUAGAAAGGAAAAAAAGAAUUGAACUUAUCUGAAUUGUACUCCUUGUGUACUCCUUGUACUCCUUGUGUAUGUCUUGUGCAAUAGGAAAAUGCAAUUGGAAUCAUUUGAGAUCAAUGAUGAUACUGGUUAUCCAACAUUUCCAUCUUGUGUAUCGGAAUUCAUUUUAAUUGUUUGGACUAAUUUGUUUGAGUUUAUCUUGAGUUUAUCCAGCAUUUCCAUCUGUAUUGGAGAUCAAUGAUCUUGUGUAUUGGAAGGGUCAUGUACAUGGGGAUGUUGCCUCAAGUUUUAUUAAAUUUAUUGUUUCAGGUUUCAGUAUACAAAGAUUACUGGGGUAUUGUCUAUAGUUUGGAUAAACCAAAUAAAGUUCACAAAUCUUUAUUCCCUUUGUGCAUAAAGUUUACAAAUCCCAAGCAUAGAGUUGGGAUCAACAAAAAAAUUCUAAGCUUACAAAUCGUGAGUGCUUUCAUCUCAAAAAAAUUCUAAGCUUACAAAUCCAGAACUGGUAGCCUUCCUUAUCUCAAUUCUCUGGUACUGAUUUUUGCUCUCUUUUUUUACCUUCCUUCAACAAGUUGUUCCUUGAACUGCAGGUACUCAGGGACAGUCAACUCCUCGUCGUCUGAAUUCUCAAGUACAGUAGUACUAGUAGCUUGGUUCAGGUUGAUUCUCAAUGAUGCCCUGCACUUGACACUAAAGCCUCCAGCCUGCAGAUAUACAAACGAAAUACAGAUACAUGCAUCAGUCUGAACCUGAAGAAGAAGGAAUGCAACCUGUGAAAUGUGUGAAAUGCUCCUACCAACAGACAAUGGAUGGUUUUUUUGUUUUGAUUGGUCUUGCUCUCGGUUUGAAGAUGAAGUGGUGUUAUUUCGCUUACCGUUGAUGUUCAAGUGUAGGCUUUUGCCUGCCCAGCACCUCUUAACCAUGUCAUCUCCUUGCAGUGCGUCUGGUUCAGGCCGAGCUCCGGGAAGCGGCUGCGCAUCAGCGGCAGCAGCGUGUCCGACGUCCCCAGGUACAUGGACUGGAAGUUGGCCUCCUGUUUCUACACGAGCACCCUGAUGAAGAGGUCUUCGGGGAGAGCUGGGGCGACUUGUUGCCAUCUGGUGAGGACGUCCACGGCGCCCUGGUCGACGGACUUCGUGACGCUGAACAUUGUCACUGUCGGGGGACGGGAACGUGCUUCACCUGCCACGAGAGCACGACGCCGAAGCUCUCGCCGACGCCGUUUCCGACGCAGCCGGAGAAGACGGCGGCGGUAGGUGGAGAAAUCAUUGCUUUUUAUGAGGAAGGGGGAAGCUUGGGGAGGCAGGCGAGUCGCAACUGCGGCGGCGGAGCGGCGGGGGACCGGGGGAGCAGGGGAGUUGCGGCAGGCGGAGCUGCAGCGGGCGAGCGGCAGCUGCGGCGGGGGAGUAGGGCAGCUGCGGCGGCGAGGAGCAGGCAAGCUGUAGCGAGCGUAGAUGGGGCAUCUGUCGGAGGAGGAGGACGAGGAGCGCGGGUUUGGUCGGGAGAAGCUGUAGGGGCUUUUCGCAAAAUUACCGUCGCGACAUUAAUUUCGGGACGGAGGGAGUAGCAUCUAAUCCUUCCAAAUAACACAGAACAUACGUGUUGCACGACCCAAAUGGGGCCCGGUCAAUGACAUCAAUCCCAUAUGUCACUCUCUGCUCCUACUACCUCGCUGUCCAUUACUUCAUGGUAAAUCUGGGGACGAGGAGGACAUGGUCGUCUGUCUGGCUCUUCACCUCCCUCGGGAGCAGUGCACUCGACCACGGUUGGACUCUAACCGGUGGAAAUCCAUGGUGUCCGUUCAAAUGUCGUUUGGAUGCGCAGGGAUGAUUGCUCGAGGCGUGCGGGCGCGGCCUCGACGGACACAGUGAUCGCCGUCCAAUUCUAGUAUGAUGAUGCAACCCCUUUGGUGGUGCCUCAUCCCUACGCCCUCGGGCUCGGAGUCGAAGAUCUGCACCGGCAUGAGUUACGGUCCAUCUUCUAACAUGGAGUGGCAUACCCGUCGUGCAAGGCAAAGGCCGCGUGGCGAGACGUAGAUGCUCUAACCACAUCUAGAUGGGAUCACAUCGAUUUAUGAUAUCCCGACUUCCCGAUCAACGAGUCUCCUCUGAUCAAAACCAUGUUACCCUAAUAUGCAUGUAAAAAAGUUAGGCUAAUAUGCGCGUAAAAAAGUUGAUUAACUGCUGCUAAAAUGGUGUGAUGUGAUAAGCCGGCCCUCCCCAACAAGAAAUAAUAACAACUGCCCCCCUAUCUCUCAUAUCCAAUUUAUAUAUGAGCCGGAUAUAGCGAGGACUGGAUGCGUCCGUCAGGUUGUAUCCGGCUCACGCUGGUUCAUCCCGACCCAUAUAUAUCCGUCUCUAUCUCCAACCUGGACGAAACCCUAGCUACUCCACCCCUCUUCUUAGCUCCGUUCCGAUGAUCUCCAGCCAUCUCCGACAUUACAGGCAGCGUCCGACACGGAGUUGGGAUCUCGCCCCAUGCGGGGAUGAGGAGGACAUGGCCGUCCGGCCGGCACUUCGCCGCCCCCGGAAGGAGUGCGCUCGACCACGGUUGGACUCUAUCCGGCAAAAACCCAUGGUGUCCGUUCAAAUCUCGCUUGGAUCCGCAGGGAUGAUGGCUCGAGGCGUCCGGGCGCGGCCUUGCCGGACGCGGUGACCACCAUAAUAUUCUAACUCCGGGAUGGCGAUGCAACCCCUCCGGUUGCGCAUCAUCCCUAACAUGGAGCGGCGUACGCCGUCGUGCGAGGCAUAGGACGCGGGGGCGAGGUGUAGAUGCUCUAACCGCAUCUGGAUGAGAUCACAUCGAUUGAUGAUGUCCGGAUAAACGAGUCUCCUCAGAUCAAAACCGUGUAAUAAUCCUACAAAAUAAAGACAUCGCCCAACGUGUUCCAGAACGCUCUGAAUGAGACCCCGCGAAUGGCAACAACCAUACCAUUUAUGAGCAAGUUUUGUCAGUCCCCCCACCCGGCCAGCCCGUGACAUCGAUGUAGCAGCUUCCGUUCCUAUUUAACCAGCGUACCAUUUGCACUACAUUGCAUCACAGCAAGCACACACACACACACACUCUCUAGAGAAAUGGCGAUGGCUAGGACGACGGCGCUCCUCCUCGUCGCCGCGGCUCUCCUGGCGGCCUCAUCCAGCGCAUGGGAGGUGAACAUCCAGAUGCCGGCGUCGGCGGCCGUGGACGAUGCUGUGGCACCGCUCAUCCACGCGCUGCGGCCGCUCCUGGGCUCCGGCAAGCAAGCCGGCGUGGCGUGCGAUAGCUGGCGGCUGGGCGUGGAGGCGCACAACGUGCGGGACUGGAAGACGGUGCCCGCCAGCUGCGAGGAUUACGUCGGCCACUACAUGGUCGGCGACCACUACCGCCGGGACUCCAAGGUCGUCAUCGACCAGGCCAUCGCCUACGUCGACUCCCUCAAGCUCGCCGGCAACGGCAAGGAGGUCUGGGUCUUCGACGUCGACGAGACCACCCUCUCCAACCUCCCCUACUACGCCAAGCACGGCUUCGGGUACGU